CGAAGAGGUACCUGAAACCAAAACUUAAACUAUAAACACAAAGCUUAGUGAGUUCCCCCCAUCAUACCACACACCACAUAACACCAUCGGUAUCUUUCAACCGGUAACUGUCAUCGGUAUCUUUCAACCGGUAACCAUCAUCAGUAUCUUUCAACCGGUACACGCCAUCGGUAUCUUUCAACUGGUAACUGGGGACUAUUUCACCCCAGCACUAGCAUACCAUAACGAGAGAUAAUCAUACAGUCAGGCAUAACUGGGUAGGGACAACUAAUCCAUUCUACACACAUAGCAUAUCAUACAUGCAUAUCUCGUGACCAUAACACAUUAACAUACCAAGAUAAUUAUCACGAAGACAAUCAUCUCAUACAUAACUACUUACUGGUGGGCCGACAUUAGUUCCAUAGACCCAUCCCUACUGGAAGGUAACUCACCUCGUAGUAGUAGCUGACGAUCUAUGCGGGAGCUCUCUGCCUGCUGCUGCUGCUCCGGGAAUCCUCCGGCUAUAAUUCCCACAAAACACCCAAUCAGAGUCUAAUAACUACUCUUAUGUAGGGAUGACUAUUCUACCCUGACCUAGUCAAAGUCAAGCCAAAGUCAACUUCCAACUGAACUGACUCACCGAGUUGGGCCGCUAACUCGUCGAGUCCUUAUCGAUCUAACUUUCCUCAUUCCCGUCCCUACUCAUCGAGUUAGGCAAUGACUCAAUGAGUUAUCCUCCUAUUCGAACAUCGAAUGAUCCUUCAUCCGACUCGCCGAGUUGUAUGAACAACUCGUCGAGUUCAUCUUCAUCUGAAGAACAAGCCCUGUCCUUGACUCGUCAAGUUAUAUGAACAACUCGUCGAGUUCAUCUUCAUGUGCUGGGAGAUUUCCUUGGACUCGCCGAGUCUGUUCAUGCACUUGCCGAGUCCCAUGAACUCCAGGUCUAAGGCUAAGUCCAAUACGUCUAAACAACUAUGGGACUCCCUUUUCUAACAACUGACCAUCGCAAAAGGGUUUAAGAUGGCUGAAAGUGCACUGACUCGCCGAGUCCCAAGAACGACUCGCCGAGUCCAACCUUGACCAUUUCUAUACAGUCGAACUAAAAGGGAUUUAACACACCAAAACCAUAGAUUUGGCCUCCUAAUGUCCAUUUUAUAUGUAAAGUUCCAAACUUGAUGCACAUGCAUGGGGUUUUUAGCUCAAAAGUCCAUAGAAGGUGCUCUACAAUGUGCAUGGGGCUCUCAUGGCCAUAAAGUUGGCACCUUUAUGCCAUGAGAACCCUCCAAUGACUCAGAUCUGGAAGUAGAGCCCCAUGAAUCACCUUACAAAUCUGAAAAUGACUUAAGAAGCCCUAAAUGCACCAUGACCCUAGGCCAUAAAGAUGAACAACCAAAAAAGGAAGACCAAAACAGGGGGAAUUUACCUUGCUUGAGCUGAAGAUGAAGUAAGAUCUCUGGAUCUACAAGUCCCAACUCAAAAUCCCAAGCUUCCUUUUUCCUUCCAAGCUUCACAAACCAACCAGGAACACCAAAAUGGACUUAACACACACACAAACGGCUAGGGUUUCGAUAUCCAGCUCUAAGGGAGUGUUAGGGACAAGGGAGGCUGAGUUAAGGUGUUUAUAUAGGGUGCAAACCCUCAGAUUUAGGGUUUUACUCGCACAGCGCCUACUCGCCAAGUUCGUCUUCCGACUCAUCAAGUACAUCACUUAAGAUGUCUGCGGACUCGUCUCUACUCGACGAGUGGGUCCUCCGACUCGUCGAGUCCCAGGGCAAAACAUAAAAAUGCUUGAAUUAAAUGUGUACCAGGAAUUGGGUGCUACAAAUCUCCCCCGCUUAUUUUAGACUUCGUCCUCGAAGUCUACUGCUCGUUCCUGGAAAAGUUAUGGGUAAUGCUCCAUCAUCUCAUCAACCGGCUCCCAAGUCCAUUCUGAGCCCUUUCAGUGCUGCCAUUGCACCUUCACCAUGUCGACCCUCUUAUUCCUCAAAUCCUUCGACUUCGGGUCAAGGAUUGCUACCGGUCGCUCGAUGUAAUUCAGGAUGUCAUCAACCUGGAUAUCCUCUAAGGGUACCACUGCUGAGUCGUCCACCAGGCACUUCCUCAGCUGGGAGACGUGGAAAGUGCUGUGGAUAUGGCUGAGUUCGGCUGGUAGAUCCAAUCUGUACGCCACCUUACCCAUUCGGGCUAAAACCCUGAACGGUCCAAUGUACCUGGGGCCUAAUUUUCCCCGUUUCCUAAAUCGGAUGACGCCUUUCCAUGGCGACACCUUCAGGAGAACCAUAUCCCCGACCUAGAACUCUAGGUCUGAUUGGCGCUUGUCGGCAUAACUUUUCUGCCGACUCUGAGCAGACUGAAGCCUGCUCCGGACCUGUUGAAUCCUCUCCGUCGUCUUGAGCACCACUUCGGUGCUCCCCAUGACCCUCUGACCAACCUCACCCCAGCAUAUCGGGGUCCUGCACUUCCUCCCGUACAACAUCUCGAAGGUAGGACGAUUGAUACUCGCAUGAUAGCUGUUGUUAUACGAGAACUCAGGCAAUGGGAGGUAAGUAUCCCAACUACCACCGAAGUCUAGCACACAUGCCCGCAGCAUAUCCUCCAAAUUCUGGAUGGUCCGCUCGCUCUGACCAUCCGUCUGCGGGUGAAAUGCAGUGCAAAAGUGCAGACACGUACCCAACUCAUCGUGGAAUUUCUUCCAGAACCUGGAAGUAAACCGCACAUCUCUGUCUAAAAUCACGGAGACUGGCACUCCAUGCCGUUCCACCACUUCCCGAAUGUAGAUGUCAGCCAACUUUUCGGUCGAGAUACUCUCCUGGAUUGGUAUAAAAUGGACAAUCUUGGUCAACCGAUCCACGAUGACCCAUAUGGAAUCCACUCCCCGCACGGUCCUGGGAAGUUUGGUGAUGAAGCCCAUAGUAAUAUCUUCCCACUUCCACAGAGGAAUAUCCAACAGCUGCAUCUUGCCGUGUGGCCUCUGGUGCUCGGCCUUGACCUUCCUGCAGGUGAAGCACCACUCCACGUACCAUGCUACAUCCCACUUCAUGCAGGGCCACCAAUAGUCUACACGAAGAUCUCUAUACAUCUUCUUCGCCCCGGGAUGAAUGGAGAAUCGGGAUUUGUGUGCCUCCUCCAACAGCACCUGGCGCACACCCCCGAGGUACGGUACCCACACCUUAUGGUGUAAUGUCAAUAAUCCUCGGCUAUCAUAGUCGAAGGAGGAUAACUGUCCCACAAUCCGAUCACUCUUCCGAUGUUCCUCCUUCAUGGCCUCCUCCUGGGCCUCCAGAAUCCGCUCCAACAGCGGAGUCACCAUUGUCAUCCUCAUACAGAUAUCCCUGAUCGGUGCUGCCUUGCGGCUAAGCGCGUCGGCCACCACAUUGGCCUUCCCGGGUGGUAGAGGAUCUCACAGUCAUAAUCCUUUACCACAUCAAGCCACCGACGCUGCCUCAUAUUCAGAUUUGGUUGGUCCAUGAGAUACCUCGGGCUCUUGUGGUCCGUGUAGAUAGUACAACGAACCCCAUAUAGGUAAUGGUGCCAAAUCUCGAGGGCGAACACAACAACCCCCAGCUCCAAAUCAUGCGUCGAGUAGUUCACCUCGUGAGGCUUCAGCUGCCUCGAAGCGUAAGCAAUAACAUGCCCUCUCUGCAUCAAUACUAUGCUCAAGCCGAGAUGGACGCAUCACAGUAUACAACAAAAUCCUCCAUGCCCUCUAGCAAGGCUAAGAUUGGCGUCUCGCACAAUAUCUGUCUCAAUGUCUCGAAUGCAGCCUGCUGCUCAGGCCUCCAACGAAAGACCACGACUUUCCUCGUCAGCCUAGUCAGGGGCACGGCUAUCUUGGAGAAGUCCUGAAUGAAUCUCUGAUAGUAGCUCUGAAUCUCGGAUAGAGACCUCGGAACCUCCCACCUCAUCACGGCCUCUACCUUGGCUGGGUCAACCGAAAUCUCAUCCUGGUUGACGAGAUGCCCAAGGAACUGCACCUCGCGUAACCAGAACUCGCACUUGGAGAACUUGGCAUACAAGCUCUCCCUCCUCAAGGUAUCCAGAACCUCCCGUAGGUGUUCCUCAUGCCGCUCUCUCGUCUUGGAAUAUACCAAGAUAUCAUCAAUAAAGACUAUCACAGACCGAUCCAACAUCGGUCUGCACACGCGGUUCAUGAGAUCCAUGAACGCGUCAGGAGCAUUGGUGAGCCCGAAGGGCAUCACCACAAACUCAUAAUGGCCAUAGCGCGUCCGGAAAGCAGUAUUCUGCACAUCCUCCUCUCUGACCCUCAUCUGAUGAUACCCCAAAUGCAAAUCAAUCUUGGAGAACCAAGAUGCUCCGUGUAGUUGUUCAAAGAGGUCAUCAAUCCCCGGGAGUGGGUAACGGUUCUUUAUCGUUACCUUAUUCAGCUCCCAGUAAUCUAUACACAUCCGGUGCGGCCCGUCCUUCUUCUUCACAAGCAGAAUCGGAGCUCCCCAGGGUGAACUACUUGGUCUAAUGAAUCCUUUGUCUAACAGCUCCUGCAGCUGUGUAGACAACUCCCGCAUCUCAGGAGGAGCCAACCGAUACGGUGUCUUGGCUAUCAGAGCCGCACCAUGGACUAGGUCGAUCCUGAACUCCACCUGCCUCUCCGGAGGUAUCCCAUGCAACUCCUCGAGGAAUACAUCCGUAAACUCUCGCACCACAGGUACAUCGCCCACCAUCACUUGACCCGCCUCCCAGGUAUCCAUAACAUAGGCGACAUAUCCUACGCAACCCUACUGGAGGUAGCGCCUAGCCCUCGCUGCCGAACAUAAAGUUGGUCCUUGAUGUGGCCUCUCGCCCUGAACCACCAGCUCUCCCCCACUUGGCGUCCUGAUCCGCACCAACUGCUGCGCGCAGUCCAUCACUGCCCCAUUGGGUCUUAGCCAAUCCAUACCAAUAAUAACUUUGUUCCCCCGCAAGGGUAUGGGAACCAGAUCAACCAGGUAACACUCCGCGAACAUCCUCAAAACACAAUCUCGGUAGACCUCUGAUGCUCGCACUGACCGGUCGUCCGCAAUCUCGACCUCAAGGGGGCAAUCCAACAUGCCCGAAGACUCAGGAAACCUCUUGCUAAGCGCAAGAGAGACAAACGAUUGGGUAGCACCCGAAUCAAACAAUACAUGAACUGGGAUACCGUUCACAUGGAACGAUCCUAAACAUAACACAUACAUAUAACACAUCAAAAUCAUGACAACAUAACGUAAAAGAUAUGAGAGUAGAAAUCAUACCCGUCACCACAUUGGGUGCAGCGCGUGCCUCCUCGGCUGUCAGCUGAAAUGCUCAGCUCCGUACCACUGGAGCCUCCGUCUUGACCUUCCGGCCAUCCGUAACCCGCACAAUUGCUGGAGUUGGCGCCACUGCCAGCGUCGCUGCUGCUGUCAAUCUGGGGCAAUUGACCUUUUUAUGGCCCCUCUAAUUGCAAUGAAAGCAAAUUAGGUCUUAUGUCUAAAUCGCAGGAGUAGGGGCAAUACAAUCUCUGCCAAAAUGCCCAAUCUUGACACACUUAUAGCAGUUGGAACCUGUCCCAGUGCGGCAAACUCCCUCAUGUGAUCGACCGUACUUCCCACAGUGGUCCCGCCCUGAAUGGCCUUUUGGCCUAACAUCGGAUCCCUUGGGCUUCUUCCCCGAAGCCCCUGUCGUCUGUCCUACCUCUACCUUCCUCUUCCGUAUGUGCUCCAGAUCAAUCUCUCUCUCCCUUGCCCUGGCAAUCAUGGAAUCCAAGGUGGGGAAGGCUGAAAAACUAACAUGCUCCCUAAUAUCAGCUCGUAGCAUGUCAUGGUAGUGGGCCCUCCUCAUGUCCUCAUCACCCUCAUACUGAGGCACCAACAAAGCCCUCUCCUGGAACUUGGCGGUGAUCUCUGCCACAGUCUUCGUAGUCUGUCUCAUAUCCAAGAACUCCCUGGCCAGCUGCUGGAGCUCCACAGCUGGUGCAAACUCGGCCCUGAAUCAGGUCACAAAAUCUGACCACGUCAUAGCCUCAAUGGCUAGGGCUCCCAACGUAUCACCAAUCAACUCCCACCAAUCUCUGGCUCGAUCCCUCAAACAUCCCGCAGCGAAACGAACCUUCGACCCUUACGGGCAGAAGCUCGUUAGCUGCGCAGAUUCAAUAUUUGUGAUCCAUCUCCUAGCAGCAAUGGGGUCCUUCACCCCAUGGAAAUCUGGCGCACCACUCCCUCUGAAGUCCUUAAAGGACAGUGUGCACAUACUCGCCUGGCUAGACACCAAAUCACUCCUGAAUGAUCGGAGACGAUCCUCCAUCAGCUCGAUGAUCCCUUCCUUGGUCGACCCGAAGAUGAUCGGGUCAACUCAAGGAUACCUCUCGUGAUCUCCGAUGCGAUGGACUCGCGUAUCCCACCAUCCACCUGCUCGGAUCCUUCACCCGAGCUCGAACCUGAUCCUGACCCCGAGCCUCCCGCUCCAUGUCGCGUGGUCACUAUACUGAAAAUAAACAUACCAACAUCAGGAUCACACAUACUCUCGAGAAGUCUCACACACUCUCCAAGUCCCCUGUUUCCAUCUCAUCCCUCCUUGACUUGAGUACGGAUCCUCUUCUCUCAGUAGCACGGGCCCAUACUACCUUCCACAUCUAUCUGUACUUUCCUCAAGGAUUACUUCGACUUCACCGAGUCCCCUUUUUCGAUACCCUUUCCACUGAUCUCAUCCUAGAAUUUCCUAGGGCACUCUCCGACCUGCUCUCCACCAUCAGCUGCACCAGGAGUCCCUACCAACAUUCCCUAACUAGCUUGCGGAUAUUGUUACAUAUCCGCUUACUAAUUAGUUAAAGUUAGUCGGGACUCCUACAGCACAAAGCAAGCAGCAUUCGUGCAUUGAGAAACCACUUCAAGAAUAACCUAAUCAGGCUAUCCUACUGUUGACUAGACAUUCCUAGCAUACAGCUCAUACCACAGGCAUUCAAGGCAUCCUCCUAUAUCCUUAACCCUAGGCUAGCAUGCAGUUCUCAAAAUCAUAUAUCAGGCAUACAAGGCAUCCACCUAGAUCCUUAGCCCUAGUCUAGCAUGCAGUUCUCAGAAUCAUAUAUCACAUGACAUAACAUAACAAGUAUGGGUAUCUUGGGGAAAACUUACUUGAACUCGGUCAGUCGCACGCAUCACACACCUUGUUCUUUAUCAAAAUUCCUUAACUUAGAUUUUAGAAAAUUAUUUUCUCUGUGAAGAAAAUUUUAAAUCCCUCGGUUUGAGUCCAGACACCCCCGAGGGUGUGUCCGAAUCCCUCAAACCAGGGCUCUGAUACCAACUUGUAACAUCCCAAAAUUUGAGGCCAAAAAUUUUGUUUUUAAAUUAAGUAGAUAAUAAUUUAUAUUACCAAAACACUGUCACUAUUUCAUCAUUCAUAAAAUCAUAAAAUCAUGUCUCGAAAACCAUAUCAUCCGGAACAAUGAAAAUCAGAGUACAAUCCCAGAAAAUCCGAUGCGGAAACCAUGUGUGUGAUGCGCUGCUACGCCGCCGGCUCUUUCCCCUUGGACGAAGAGGUACUUGAAACCAAAACUAAAACUAUAAGCACAAAGCUUAGUGAGUUCCCCCAUCAUAACACACACCACAUAACACCAUCGGUAUCUUUCAAACGGUAACUGUCAUCGGUAUCUUUCAACCGGUAACCAUCAUCGGAAUCUUUCAACCGGUACACGCCAUCGGUAUCUUUCAACUGGUAACUGGGGAAUAUUUCACCCCCUAGCACUAGCAUACCGUAACUAGAGAUAAUCAUACAGUCAUGCAUAAGUGGGUAGGGACUGUUGGAUUAGUGUCUAAGGUUGUAACCAUAUUUGGUAAGUACUUGACCCGGUUGUGCAUGGUCCUUUUAGGUUGCCUUCACCAUAGCAACUUGACAGGAUGAUUUGUUAAGAGAGAAGAAAUAUUAUUGUUAAUAUAUUAUGAGAAUAAUAUAUUAAAGGAUUAAUAAUGUUAUUUGAUUAAUAUAAUUCAUAUAUUAAUUAAGAAUUAAUUUGGUGACUUAAAGAGGUUAAUUGAAUAAAGGGACAUAAACUGUCAAAUGUGUAAUAGUUGUGUUUUGGGCUAUGUAUCCUUAUGGAUAUGAGGGUGGACAAAAUUUAGAGUUUGGGAACCUUAAAAUCGUCCAAGCCUAUUAUCUAGGAGGAUCUUGGAUUGCUUAGGGCCUAAGUUAUUCAAUUAGGGUUAAAGGUGAAACCCUAGUAGCUCAUAGUAUAAAUAGAUCCCUAGGGUGAGGGAAAUCGCCACUCAUGCAAGGCAAGAAACCCUAGGGCUGAUUUCUCACCCUCCUCCCUCUCUCUCAAGAUCAUCUUCUUGCUAGUUGGUGGUUGUAAGCCAUUAGAGGAGUGAUAAUUGUGACUCUAAGCUCCAAGAAGAAGAAGAAGUAUCAAGCAAAUAAUCCAAGGUAUUGUUCUAGAUCCAAUUUCAUAUGAUUAGAUUCAAUUGUUUACAUUAGAUCUAGUAUUGUAAGUCUUGGAUUCAAUGCAUGUUCAGUUAGAGAAACCUAGAUCCAAGCAAUUAGGGUUUGCAUGUGCACAUAGGAAAAUUCUUAUGGCUCAAACCCAUCAGUGGUAUCAGAGCUUUGAUUGAUUUCUAUUGAAUUGAUGCAUUGGUUGAUUGCUUGUUGCUUGAAAAAUUCAAUUUUUGUGAUUCUGCCUGAUGAACACGGCGAGUUCCACUGUGGACUCGGCGAGUAGCUCCAAAUCGGCGAGUCCAUAGUGGGAACUCGGCGAGUUCGAGCAUCAGAAAGAGGGAGUUUUGGGAUUUCUUGUUGUUUUACUUGAGGAAACUUGCCUUAACUGUUNNNNNNNNNNNNNNNNNNNNNNNNNNNNNNNNNNNNNNNNNNNNNNNNNNNNNNNNNNNNNNNNNNNNNNNNNNNNNNNNNNNNNNNNNNNNNNNNNNNNNNNNNNNNNNNNNNNNNNNNNNNNNNNNNNNNNNNNNNNNNNNNNNNNNNNNNNNNNNNNNNNNNNNNNNNNNNNNNNNNNNNNNNNNNNNNNNNNNNNNNNNNNNNNNNNNNNNNNNNNNNNNNNNNNNNNNNNNNNNNNNNNNNNNNNNNNNNNNNNNNNNNNNNNNNNNNNNNNNNNNNNNNNNNNNNNNNNNNNNNNNNNNNNNNNNNNNNNNNNNNNNNNNNNNNNNNNNNNNNNNNNNNNNNNNNNNNNNNNNNNNNNNNNNNNNNNNNNNNNNNNNNNNNNNNNNNNNNNNNNNNNNNNNNNNNNNNNNNNNNNNNNNNNNNNNNNNNNNNNNNNNNNNNNNNNNNUUUAAUUUAGACAACUUAAAUUUCAAACCCUAGAUUUUAAAAGUUUUAAAAUACAACCCUAUACUAAUAUGAUAUUACUAGAAUAAUAUAUAUAUGUAUAACUAAAUGCUAAUCUUACCGUUAGUAGGCCUCAUUCACGAAGCCAGACUAUAAGGUGGGUAUAAGGUUGCUGCCUAUAAAAUGGCGCUUAAUGGGUGUACACUCACACCCACCGCUUGCUUGACUGGUGGAGGGUCGUUAGCCGAACGGGUAGGAUAGGGCAAACCUCUUCUCAUUAAUAAGUAUAAUGAAUCUAUUUAAAGUAACUAAACUAUUUUAUAAAAUUCCCAAUCUUAGUUACUUUAGGAAAAGUGAAUUGAUGCAAUCCCAUGAAAUUACACUUUGCACCCUUGUUUAGAUGUUAGUGGAGCGUGUGUGGUUAACCGGCACACUAAUUGGUUCUAAGCAAAGGUGGCAAAGGGUGAUUCAUUGUUUGUCAUAGUUCGGUGGAGCGUGUGUGGUUUACCGGCACAUCGAAUAGGAGAUUGUAACAAUGAAGGCACCAUGUAGAUUUGCAUGGUUAUUCACACCCGCUUUGUGAUCCUCGGUAUCCCAGUCACAAACUAGAGGGGCAUAUCGAGAUUUAAACAUGCCAUUGAAAAGUUCAAUGAAUCUCAAAAUCUAGGAAUUCUCAAUACAUUUAAAACUUAAAGAUUAUGUUUUUCGUGGUGAAGAAUUAGUGAAUCGUCAUUCACUUACCUCCAAAUUAUUUGCAUGUUGGAUUACGGUAUCCCUUUUCUAAUGUGUAAAUAAUGUUGUUGGGUCCUAACCCUAAAUUUCCAUUUUGGGUGUUGAUUAGGGACUUAACUCUAAUCAACUUUGUUCCUUUCUAUUUGUAGAUGGCUAAUGCAAACAACGCUGCUACUAGCUCAUUCACGCUAAUGAGCCUUUGUCAAAAAGUGACUUUCGAUGGAUUGAACUUUAGCGAAUGGAUAAGAUACAUUCGCACAAUCGCUCCUUACGAGGACAAGGAGUAUGUUCUCGAUGAGAAGCUUGAAAAGAUCAAUCUAGAAACUGCCACUCCCGAAGAAAUGGUUGUGUUUGAGACACAUGAGCAUGAUGCAAUGAAAUUCCAUUGCAUCAUGAUAGCCACAAUGAACUCCGAAUUCCAAAAGUCCUAUGAGGACAUGUAUCCUGAUGAGAUGCAUCUAGACUUGAUGGAGAGAUAUCACCAAAGCGCGAGGCAAGAGUGCUACGAGAUCAUAACGAAUAUGAUCACUGCUAAAAUGGAAAGUGGAGAGUCUCUAACCGUGCACUUGCAGAAGAUGCAAAGGUAUGUCGAUCAUCUUCGCAAGUUGAAUGUCAACUUUGGGGAAGAUUUGGCUAUCGACAUUGUUCUUCACUCCUUGCCCUCAUGCUACAAUCAAUUUAGGAUGACCUACCACAUGAACAAGGAAGAGGUCACCCUAAGCAAACUCCAAGGUCUCCUAAGGACUGCUGAGAGCAACCUAGAGGACAAGUCUGUUGCACCAACUCCCAAUCCGUCUGCUGCUUCUGUUUUGGCUAUUGGGCAGGGAAGGGGCAAGAAGAGGAAGGCUUCUUCGAAGAACCACCGCAAGGGAAAGUCCCAAGAUGGUUCCUCUUCUAGUGGGACCAACGUUGAUCCUGCUAAACCCAACCCUAACCCAAAAGAGGCAGAGUGCCAUCAUUGCCACAAAAUAGGGCAUUGGAAGAGAAGUUGCCCGGAAUAUCUACAAGCCAUCAAGGAUGGAAAGAUCAAGCCAUCUUUUGCAGGUAUAUACACAAUUAAAUCUAAUGAUUCAUCCCAUGCUAUUUCUUGGGUUCUUGAUACAGGGUGUGGUUACCACAUUUGUUCUGAUUUGCAGGGACUAGGAAGAAAUAGGGAUGUGGAGCUUGGAAGAAUAAAUCUAAUCAUGGGGAACAGAAGAUCGUCGCAUGUUACCAAGAUUGGAGUGUAUUCUUUAGUGCUUAGUAAUGGAUUGAAUUUAGAUUUAAAUAAUUGUUGCUACUCGCCAGAUAUGGCAAGAAACAUCAUUUCUUUUCAUGGUUUAUUUAGACAAGGAUUUAGAUAUUCGUUUAAUAAUGAGAAUGGUUCGAUUUAUGCUUAUCUAAAUGGUGUUUUAUAUUUUGAAGCAAUGCCUUGUAAUGGAAUUUAUGAAACUGUUAUGGUUGUAGAUAACCUAGGAAAUGAUGUGUUGUGUAUGGAUUCUUCCAAUAGUAUGGAUAGAGCAUCCUUGUGGCAUUGUCGUCUUGGACAUGUCAACAAGAAGCGCAUAGCCCAACUCCAAAAGGAUGGAGUGUUGGAGUCAUUCGACCUUAGGGAAGAUGACACGUGCGAAUCUUGUUUACUUGGAAAGAUGACCAAGUCACCCUUCACUGGCACUUGUGAGAGGGGUGAGGGUUUAUUGGAUCUCAUACANNNNNNNNNNNNNNNNNNNNNNNNNNNNNNNNNNNNNNNNNNNNNNNNNNNNNNNNNNNNNNNNNNNNNNNNNNNNNNNNNNNNNNNNNNNNNNNNNNNNNNNNNNNNNNNNNNNNNNNNNNNNNNNNNNNNNNNNNNNNNNNNNNNNNNNNNNNNNNNNNNNNNNNNNNNNNNNNNNNNNNNNNNNNNNNNNNNNNNNNNNNNNNNNNNNNNNNNNNNNNNNNNNNNNNNNNNNNNNNNNNNNNNNNNNNNNNNNNNNNNNNNNNNNNNNNNNNNNNNNNNNNNNNNNNNNNNNNNNNNNNNNNNNNNNNNNNNNNNNNNNNNNNNNNNNNNNNNNNNNNNNNNNNNNNNNNNNNNNNNNNNNNNNNNNNNNNNNNNNNNNNNNNNNNNNNNNNNNNNNNNNNNNNNNNNNNNNNNNNNNNNNNNNNNNNNNNNNNNNNNNNNNNNNNNNNNNNNNNNNNNNNNNNNNNNNNNNNNNNNNNNNNNNNNNNNNNNNNNNNNNNNNNNNNNNNNNNNNNNNNNNNNNNNNNNNNNNNNNNNNNNNNNNNNNNNNNNNNNNNNNNNNNNNNNNNNNNNNNNNNNNNNNNNNNNNNNNNNNNNNNNNNNNNNNNNNNNNNNNNNNNNNNNNNNNNNNNNNNNNNNNNNNNNNNNNNNNNNNNNNNNNNNNNNNNNNNNNNNNNNNNNNNNNNNNNNNNNNNNNNNNNNNNNNNNNNNNNNNNNNNNNNNNNNNNNNNNNNNNNNNNNNNNNNNNNNNNNNNNNNNNNNNNNNNNNNNNNNNNNNNNNNNNNNNNNNNNNNNNNNNNNNNNNNNNNNNNNNNNNNNNNNNNNNNNNNNNNNNNNNNNNNNNNNNNNNNNNNNNNNNNNNNNNNNNNNNNNNNNNNNNNNNNNNNNNNNNNNNNNNNNNNNNNNNNNNNNNNNNNNNNNNNNNNNNNNNNNNNNNNNNNNNNNNNNNNNNNNNNNNNNNNNNNNNNNNNNNNNNNNNNNNNNNNNNNNNNNNNNNNNNNNNNNNNNNNNNNNNNNNNNNNNNNNNNNUUUUGGGAAUAAGGAUAGUGAGAGAAAGAAGUAAGAGACUAAUAGGACUUAGUCAGAAUACUUACUUAGAUAAAGUACUAAAACGUUUUAGUAUGGAAAAAUCGAAGAAGGGAGAACUACCGAUACAAAGUAAUGCCAAGUUAAGUAAGACUCAAAGUCCGAGUACCGAAGCCGAGAUAGCUGAGAUGAGCCGAGUACCUUACGCUUCUGUAGUUGGCUCGAUCAUGUACGCUAUGACUUGCACUCACCCUGAUGUGGCCUUUGCUUUGAGCAUAGUCAGUAGAUAUCAAGGGAACCCUAGCAGAGCUCACUGGAUUGCGGUAAAGAAUAUACUUAAGUACCUUCGGAGGACCAAAGAUUGGUUCUUAGUCCUCGGAGGGAGUGAUGACUUAAAGGUGCGAGGAUAUAGUGACGCCANNNNNNNNNNNNNNNNNNNNNNNNNNNNNNNNNNNNNNNNNNNNNNNNNNNNNNNNNNNNNNNNNNNNNNNNNNNNNNNNNNNNNNNNNNNNNNNNNNNNNNNNNNNNNNNNNNNNNNNNNNNNNNNNNNNNNNNNNNNNNNNNNNNNNNNNNNNNNNNNNNNNNNNNNNNNNNNNNNNNNNNNNNNNNNNNNNNNNNNNNNNNNNNNNNNNNNNNNNNNNNNNNNNNNNNNNNNNNNNNNNNNNNNNNNNNNNNNNNNNNNNNNNNNNNNNNNNNNNNNNNNNNNNNNNNNNNNNNNNNNNNNNNNNNNNNNNNNNNNNNNNNNNNNNNNNNNNNNNNNNNNNNNNNNNNNNNNNNNNNNNNNNNNNNNNNNNNNNNNNNNNNNNNNNNNNNNNNNNNNNNNNNNNNNNNNNNNNNNNNNNNNNNNNNNNNNNNNNNNNNNNNNNNNNNNNNNNNNNNNNNNNNNNNNNNNNNNNNNNNNNNNNNNNNNNNNNNNNNNNNNNNNNNNNNNNNNNNNNNNNNNNNNNNNNNNNNNNNNNNNNNNNNNNNNNNNNNNNNNNNNNNNNNNNNNNNNNNNNNNNNNNNNNNNNNNNNNNNNNNNNNNNNNNNNNNNNNNNNNNNNNNNNNNNNNNNNNNNNNNNNNNNNNNNNNNNNNNNNNNNNNNNNNNNNNNNNNNNNNNNNNNNNNNNNNNNNNNNNNNNNNNNNNNNNNNNNNNNNNNNNNNNNNNNNNNNNNNNNNNNNNNNNNNNNNNNNNNNNNNNNNNNNNNNNNNNNNNNNNNNNNNNNNNNNNNNNNNNNNNNNNNNNNNNNNNNNNNNNNNNNNNNNNNNNNNNNNNNNNNNNNNNNNNNNNNNNNNNNNNNNNNNNNNNNNNNNNNNNNNNNNNNNNNNNNNNNNNNNNNNNNNNNNNNNNNNNNNNNNNNNNNNNNNNNNNNNNNNNNNNNNNNNNNNNNNNNNNNNNNNNNNNNNNNNNNNNNNNNNNNNNNNNNNNNNNNNNNNNNNNNNNNNNNNNNNNNNNNNNNNNNNNNNNNNNNNNNNNNNNNNNNNNNNNNNNNNNNNNNNNNNNNNNNNNNNNNNNNNNGAAGUUUAUCUGUUACUUUUAUCCUAAGAGGGUAAAAGCGAUAUCAGGGCCCCUCGAUGAUUUGAUUUGACUUAUGUGUCGGGCCCGGUCAGGACUGAAUUGAUGUGUUCAAUUAAGUUCUAUGUCAAAUGAAUCUGAGAUCGAGAAACCAACUGCUGGACAAUAAGUUCCAUAAGAUUGUCCACAUAAUAUCUAAACAGAGGACUGUACGAUCCCUUAUCUAAAGGACAUGAGAUUGAUAAGAUCAGAGUUGACAGCGUCUUUGAGAGCUACGAUUGCUAAUCGGAUUGUGUUUGCAUAUAUAGUUACUAGACUUAUCCAAGUGGGAGACUGUUGGAUUAGUGUCUAAGGCUGUAACUAUAUUUGGUAAGUACUUGACCCGGUUGUGCAUGGUCCUUUUGGGUUGCCUUCACCAUAGCAACUUGACAGGAUGAUUUGUUAAGAGAGAAGAGAUAUUAUUGUUAAUAUAUUAUGAGAAUAAUAUAUUAAAGGAUUAAUAAUGUUAUUUGAUUAAUAUAAGUCAUAUAUUAAUUAAGAAUUAAUUUGGUGACUUAAAGAGGUUAAUUGAAUAAAGGGGCAUAAACUGUCAAAUGUGUGAUAGUUGUGUUUUGGGCUAUGUAUCCUUAUGGAUAUGAGGGUGGACGAAAUUUAGGGUUUGGGAACCUUAAAAUCGUCCAAGCCUAAUAUCUAGGAGGAUCUUGGAUUGCUUAGGGCCUAAGUUAUUCAAUUAGGGUUAAAGGUGAAACCCUAGUAGCUCAUAGUAUAAAUAGACCCCUAGGGUGAGGGAAAUCGCCACUCAUGCAAGGCAAGAAACCCUAGGGCCGAUUUCUGACCCUCCUCCCUCUCUCUUAAGAUCAUCUUCUUGCUAGUUGGUGUUUGUAAGCCAUUAGAGGAGUGACAAUUGUGACUCUAAGCUCCAAGAAGAAGAAGUAUCAAGCAAGUAAUCCAAGGUAUUGUUCUAGAUCCAAUUUCAUAUGAUUAGAUUCAAUUGUUUACAUUAGAUCUAGUAUUGUAAGUCUUGGAUUCAAUGCAUGUUCAAUUAGAGAAACCUAGAUCCAAGCAAUUAGCGUUUGCAUGUGCACAUAGGAAAGUUCUUAUGGCUCAAACCCAUCAGGGACAACUAAUCCCUUCUACACACAUAGCACAUCAUACAUGUAUAUCUCGUGACCAUAACACAUUAACAUACCAAGAUAAUUAUCACGAAGACAAUCAUCUCAUACAUAACUACUUACUGGUGGGACAGCAUUGGUGCCCUACUAGAAGGUAACUCACCUCGUAGUGGUAGCUGCCGAUAUGUGCGGGAACUCUCUGCCUGCUGUUGCUACUCUGGAAAUCCUCCGGCUAUAACUCCCACAAAACACCCAAUCAGAGUCUGAUAACUACUCUUAUGGAGGGAUGAAUAUUCUACCCCUAACCUAGUCAAAGUCAAGCCAAAGUCAACUUCCAGCUGAACUGACUCACCGAGUUGGGCCGCCAACUCGUCGAUUCCUUAUCCAUCUAAUUGUCCUCAUUCCCGUCCCUACUCGUCAAGUUAGGCAAUGACUCGACGAGUUAUCCUCCUAUACAUCGAAUGAUCCUUCAUCCGACUCGUCGAGUUGUAUGAACAACUCGUUGAGUUCAUCUUCAUCUGAAGAACAAGCCUUGUCCUUGACUCGCCGAGUUGUAUGAACAACUCGUCGAGUUCAUCUUCAUGUGUUGGGAGAUUUCCUUGGACUCGACGAUUCUGUUCAUGCACUCAACGAGUCCCAUGAACUCCAGGUCUAAGGCUAAGUCCAAUACGUCUAAACAGCUAUGGGACUCCCUUUUCUAACAACUGACCAUCGCAGAAGGGUUUAAGAUGGCUGAAAGCGCACCGACUCGCCGAGUCCCAAGAACGACUCGUCGAGUCCAACCUUGACCAUUUCUAUACAGUCGUACUAAAAGGGAUUUAACACACCAAAACCAUAGAUUUGGCCUCCUAAUGUCCAUUUUAUACGUAAAGUUCCAAACUUGAUGCACAUGCAUGGGGUUUUUAGCUCAAAAGUCCAUAGAAGGUGAUCUACAAUGUACAUGGGGCUCUCAUGCACAUAAAGUUGGCACCUUUAUGCCAUGAGAACCCUCCACUGACUCAGAUCUAGAAGUAGAUCCCCAUGAAUCACCUUACAAAACCAAAAAUGACUUAAGAAGCCCUAAAUGCACCAUGACCGUAGGCCCUGAAGAUGAAAAACCAAAAAAGGAACACCAAAACAGGGGGCAUUUACCUUGCUUAAGCUGAAGAUGAAGUAAGAUCUCUGGAUCUACAAGUCCUAACUCAAAAUCCCAAGCUUCCUCUUUCCUUCCAAGCUUCACAAACCAACCAGGAAGACCAAAAUGGACUUAACACACACACGAACGGCUAGGGUUUCGAUAUCCAGCUCUAAGGGAGUGUUAGGGACAAGGGAGACUGAGUUAAGGUGUUUAUAUAGGGUGCAAACCAUCAAAUUUAGGGUUUUACUCGCACAACGCCUACUCGCCGAUUCCGUCUUCCGACUCGUCGAGUAGGUCACUUAAGAUGUCUGCGGACUCGUCUCUACUCGACGAGUGGGUCCUACGACUCGUCGAGUCCCAGGGAAAAACAUAAAAAUGCUUGAAUUAAAUGUGUACCAGGAAUUAGGUGCUACAGUUACGUUAAAUGAAAAGUCAUUUGCUAGAACUGAAGCACUGUCCGAGUUUCAAGUCAUCACUUUAACAAGUGAGUGCAUAGUUACUUUCAUCUUACACAUAGAUAUGAAGUUUCUAAUUAAUUAAUUGCUAUAUGUGCUUAUGUGCAAAGAUGUUAUAUGUUAGAUAAAAUAUUAUAAAGAUAACUUAUAUGAUUUUGUAACAACCUAAGAACCUUAAGGUGAAAUUUCAUUUUUAAUUCAGCAUAUAAACACCAUUAUUUCUUAUUGACCACUUAAAAGCACAUCAAAAUGAAAAUAGUUAUCAAAGUACAAUCCCAAAAUCAAAAAAUUUGGAAACAUGGGUGGAUGCACUGCGAACAAUGGGUAACAUACUAUUUUACACUUUUCAUAUACUGGGCCCAACAAGGCAAGUCCAAACCUAAAAUGAAUCAGGGACCAAAAAUGGCCCAAAAGCCAUUCAGGUGCGUACGCCCCAACAUACCAACCUGGUACGCCCAACAUACGAUGUGAAGCCCAAAUUCAUCUCUAAACCUCUUAAUGCCUUAAGACAACAUGUAUAACUUCCAGAUCUGAUUCUUAUGGGACGUCCUGAGUCAUAAAGUUUCUGACUGUAUGACUUUGCAUGGCUUAAUUGUGCCUAAACCAAAUCCCUAAAUCUCUAACUUCAACAAAUGACCACUAACUCAUGCAUGGAAGGAAUUGAAGGACCAAGAUCACAUUUUUAUGGUUCUUAAUAACUCCAUAAUGGAUAAAGUUUCCAACUUUAUCCAUUAGAAUGGUCCAAACAACCAAGAUCUAGUCUUUAAGUUCUGAGGGACCAAAAAUGCAUCUUUUUCAACUUAAUCCAUUAAGCCCAAGUACCCAAACUUAAUAUAUGAAUCAAUAUGAUGUUUAGAUGGAUAAAGUUUCCAACUUUAUCCAAAACAAGGUCACAAACUUUCAAGAUAUUUAUGCACUAAAGUGACCAAAAACUCAUAACACCUAAUACUAGCUAGAUUUAUAAAAUGUAUCUUCAAGAUUCAAGCUUUAUACCUCCAGAAGAAAGAUCAAGGUGAACAAGGUCUGGAUCUACAAGCUCCAUGACAACCAACACUUCUCCAAGGAGUUCUUCUUCUUCCAAAUGAACCAAAAUCCACCAAAAAUCACUCAAAGGCUCAAUAUCCUUCCAAAUGGAGCUAGGUUUUGAUUUUAGGGUUAGAGGGGAUGGUAGCUGAAGAUAAUGAGGGUUGGAAAUGAGUUAAGGUCUUUAAAUAGGGAACAAGACCCAAAAUUUGGGUUUGCAUCCGACAUGCAUAUGCCCAAUGUACUGGGUUGGUCAUCUACGAUCAUUCUUGUCUAGUACGCCCACCGUACGUCAUGUGCGCCCGUCAUACUCAGCUUACCCCAAAAUCUUUGUAACUUCAAGCAGUCAUAACUUCUUCGUUCCAAAUCCGUUUUCGACGAUCCUUACAUCCACAGAAAGGUAUUGAGGAGCUCUACAACCCUAUCUAAUUAUUUUUGACUUAAAACACAUUGAACUAAAAUCCUUAAUUCAUAAGAAGUCUGAAAUGCCACUUUUCCAAUUUUACCCUUUGACUCCAAAGCACAUGCGAACUCUUGGAUCACAUAAUCUAGAUUACCCACAUCCAAAUGGGUCUAAACCUCCCUUUCCCCAAAGCCCUAAGCCUUAUGAUACUUGAUCUUUGAGUCACAGCUCCAAAUUAUGAAACAACUCGAAACAAGGUGUUACAACUCUCCCUCACUUAAAUUAGAUUUCUUCCUCGAAAUCACUCCUUGCUACUUUCCACGCAUUUAGAUGAUCCAACCAAUUCUUCUAGGUCCCUGAUAAAAAUCGACCCUAACAUACGAUGGCUUUCCAAUAAUCGAAGCCAUCCUUAGUCGAACUUCACAUACUAACAGCAAACGAAUCCUUGCUCCCGCUAACCUUAACCAAUGAAGGAUAACCAUCACUACUAAACUCAAAUACAAGAAUCUAAUACCUUCUGACUUCCUGACAUACAAAGCCAUUCUGAAUCACUACCAAUACGACUCCACCUUGAAACCCAAAUUGAACGUAAACCCUUCCAACCCUGGAUUAUUUUGUUGCUUCCACUAGGAAAUAGAAUCCCUGACAAUUAAUUGCUCAGCCUGUGACAACAAUGCUCACCUUCUCACCAAAGGAACCUCCAUUAUGCCCUCACGACCAUAAAUAAUCCGCAAAGUGGCUAGAGCAGGUUCCCUCACUGCUCCCCUCUUCAACUACAGACAGUCGACCUUCUUGUGGCCACUUGGUUGUAGUGAAAACAUAACAAACUUUUUAUGGGGACAAUCUCUGCUUACACGACCAAUCCUACCACAUUGGUAGCAACCCAUACCCCUAGAUCGACAAACUCCAUCACAAAGCUUCUUGCACGUGAUGUGCUGACCUCGACCCUGUUGGCCCCUCAACCGCUGAUCAAAAGUCUUGGGUCUUUUUUUAGGACCCCCAACUGUUUGUACCUACUCUAGCUUCCUCUUCCCCAUGUGCUCCAAAUCAAUCUCCUACUAUCGGGCUCUAGCAAUCAUGUCGUCCAAAGUCUGAAAAGCUAAAAAUAUCACAAACUCCCUAAUAUCGUCUCGCAGCAUAACAUGGUACAUUGUCUUCUUCAUCUCCUCAUCCACGAGAUACUGCGGAACCAAAAGAGCCCUCUCCCUAAACAUGGUGGUGAUCUCUGCCAUAGUCUCAGUCGUCUAACGAAGGUCCUGAAACUCCCUUGCCAACUGCUCAAUAGCUGGUGAAAACUCCGCCCUAGACCGGGUUACAAACUCAUCCCAAGUCAUCGUCUCAAUGGAUUCACAUCCCAAAGCGAAAUCUACGUCCUCCCACCAAUCUUGAGCUCUUUCUUUCAGAAGACAGGAAACAAAUCUGACCUUCGACCCCUCGGGGCAGAAACUCGUCCGGAAAGUGUUCACCAUAUCCGCUUACCACCUCCUACUAGUAUUGGCGUCAUUCUCCUCAAAGAACUCGAGAGCUCCACAAGCACAAAAUUCAUGGAAGGGAAGAGUGAAAGCUCCUACAAUAGCCAUAAUCUUAGUGCAUAACGUGUCUAGACGCUCAUCACCAUUCUGAAAAGCAAUCAUACAAAUGAUCAGAACAUACCCAAAAAAAUCCUCACCCCACAUGCUUCUUAGAUUCUCCAUGACUCUCCUUGAUUCGAGUAUGAAUCUUGUACUUUUAGUAGUACGAGACCAAUACUACCUUCCACACCUAUCCAUAUCUUCCUCAAGAAUCAUCCAGAAUCCUAUAAGUCACCUUCUCAAACUGGUACUCCAAGUACUCGCUAAACAACGCAUCUAUACCUAUUAAAAUACUUCCUAGGCUCUGUACUUAAUCAGUUAUGACCAUAGCUAUACUCGUAGAUCUAGAUUCCAUAAAGGCUCAUACUCAAUAAAGCUCGUGACUUUAAGCCUUUGCAUGGCUGAUCAAGUCCCAAACACAAAAACUCUCACUCUUUACUACUCAAAAUUCUCAUAUCUCAUGUUCCUCAACCCGCCAUCAGUUGUUGAAGAACUCCUACCAAUGUGAACCACCUAUCUCAUGAAUACAAUCACAUGCUAAAAAGCUAAGAUAAUCCUUCGAAUAAAAGACUUACCCCUACAACGGUUGGACUCAGACAAUAACUGUACAAAAGGGUCAAAUGAAUUACUCUGAGAUUAUUUAACCUAUGCAGCAUAUCAAUUAACAUAUUCACUUAAUAGUUAAUUCACAUCAUCGAGAGUCCUACAAAUCACAAAGCAAGUAACAUUCGUGCAAUAACACUCCAAGACACAAACCAAAUAGAGGACAUCUCAAGCUCACUUGCUACCAAUAAAGAUUUCAAAUCUAAUACAACAUCCAAGUCCUCUUAGGCUACAAGGCAUCACAUAUAAGGCCAAUCCAUCCAAUCAUCUAAAGUCCAUACUAGCAUGCAAUUUUAAAAGCUCAAAUAAUCAAGCAUAAUAAGGCAUCUCUCCUAGAAUGAAAUUCUGAGCAGAUCCUUAGCCGUAAUCUAGCAUGCAAUUCUCAUAACAUAUAUAACAUAACAAACAUGUAUGGGUAUUUCGGGAAUCAUUUACUUGAGCUCGGUUGAAUUCAUGCAUCAUACCCCUUUUUCUUUAAAAUAUUUUUAGAAAAGUCAUUCUCUUUCAAAAAGAUUAUCAAUUCAUCAGUUUGAGUUCAAACACACCUAGAAGUGUGCCUGAAUCCUUCAAACCAAUGCUCUGAUACCAACUUGUAAUGACCCAAAAACCAUAAGGUAAAAAUUUCAUGUUUAAUUCAACAUAUAAACACCAUUAUUUCUUGUCAACCAUUCCAAAGCACAUCAAUGUGAAAAUAUGUAUCAAAGCACAAUCCCAAAAUCAUAAAAUGUAGAAACAUGGGUGGAUCUACUGCAAUCAAGUCGAGCCUUUCCCUUUCAAACCGGAAGUACCUAAAACCAUAAACAUAAACUGUAAGCACAAAUCUUAGUGAGUUCCCCAAAAUACCACAUAACAUAAAUAUAUGUCAGCUCAAGGUUGUACCUGGUCUAUUUCACCCCUGAGUCUAUUUAAACUCAUAUGUUAGCUCAAGGUUGUACCGAGUGUAUUUCACCCCCGAGUCUAUUUCAACUCAAUCGAUAAUUUUGAAUCGUACGGGUCUAUUUCACCCCAUAUACAUGUAACAAAUAGGCAUACAAACAUACAACAAGAGUCAUAAAGACAACAAGCAUAUAACAUAUCCUAGUGGGUCUUCCUUGGUACCUUCGACCCACGGGUACAGUGAGGAGACUCACUUCAAUCUAGAUAUAACCGAAUCACACGUGCUGUAGCUAUUGGGCUCCUCACACUAAACACAUCCAAAUUGUACUUAAUUGAUAAUUAAGAAAAUUUCCCAUAAACCAAGUUCCAAUUCAUAUCUCCUUAUAAAAAUGGGUAAAAGACUAUUUAACCCUUCUUAUACUUGGCCCAACAAGGCAAGGCCUAAACCCAAAAUGACUCAAGGCCCAAAACCCAUUCAGAUGCAUAUGCCCAGAGUAUGAUGUUGAAGCCCAAAUUCAUUUCCAAACCUCUUAAUGCCUUAAGACAACAUGCAUAACUUCCAUAUUUGAUUCUUAUGGGACAUCUUGAGUCAUAAAUUUCCUGACUUUAUGACUUUGCAUGGCUUAAUUGUGCCUAAAACAAAGCCUUAAAUCUCUAACUUCAACAAAAGACCACCAAAUCAUGUAUAGAUGGAAUAUAAGGACCAAGAUCACAUUUUUAUGGUUCCUAAUAACUCCGUAAUGGAUAAAUUUUCCAAAUUUAUCCAUUAGAAUGGUCCAAACAACCAAGAUAUAGUCUUUAAGUCUCAAGGGACCAAAAGUGUAUCUUUUUCAACUUAAUCCAGUAAGUUUAAGUCCCCAACCUUUAGAUCUAAAUCAUUAUGAUGUUUAGAUAGAUAAAGUUUCCAACUUUAUCCAUAAUAAGGUCACAAACUUUCAAGAUCUAAACUUUAUGCACUAAAGUGACCAAAAACUCAUAACACCCAAGACUAGCUAGAUCUAUCAAAUGCAUCAUCAAGAUUCAUCCUUUAUACCUCUAGAAGAAAGAACAAGGUGAAAAAGGCUAGCUCUACAAGCUCUAUGACAACCAACACUUCUCCAAGGAGUUCUUCUUCUUCUAAAUGCACAAAAUCCACCAAAAAUAACUCAAAGGCUCAAUAUCCUUUCAAAUGGGGCUAGGGUUUGGAUUUUAGGGUUAGAGGGGAUGAAGGCUAAAGAUAAGGAGGGUUUGAAAUGAGUUAAGCUCUUUAAAUAGGGUAAAAAAAACCCAAAAUUAAGGUUUUAAUCUAACAUGCAUACACCCAACGUACUAGGUUGGUCAUCCACGAUCAUUCCUGCCUAGUACACCCAACGUACUCUGCUUACUCGAAAAUCUUCGUAACUUCAACGGGUCAUAACUUCUUCAUUCCAACUCCGUUUUCAAUGAUCCUUAUAUCCACAAAAAGGUAUUGAGGAGAUCUAUAACCCUAUCUAAUUACUUAUGAAUUAAAACACAUCAAACUAAAAUCCUUAAUUCACAAAAGAAGUAUGAAACACCACUUUUCCCAUUUUACCCUUUGACUCCAAAGCACAACUGUACUCUUGGAUCACAUAAUCUACAUUACCUACAUCCAAAUGGGUCUAAAACUCUCUUUCCCUAAUGCCUGAAGCCUUAUGAUACUUGAUCUUCAGGUCACAGCCCCAAAUUAUGAAACGACUCGAAAUUGGGUGUUACAAAUUUAUAAUGCAUAUGUAUUUUUAUAGAUAUAAUAUAUUGGGUAACGAAGGGUAGUGAAAGAUUCUAUAGUACGAUAAAAGAUAGGAUGUCCUAAUAUAUAGAUAAGGAUAGGAUUCCAUGACUUUAGGAAUGGUACUAGUAUACCAACGAUGUAGUCACUUAGAAAAACAUAGGUGACAACUACCAGACUAAUUGAUGAUAGUCCCGUAUAAUAUUGGCAGCUAUGGACUUAGUGCCUAAUAGAUAAAUAAUGACAUCUAUGGACUUAGUGUCUAAUAGAUAAACAUUGAUAGAUAUGGACUUAGUGCCUAAUAGAUAAAUAAUGGUAUUUAUGGACUUAGUGCCUAAUAGAUAAACACUGCCAACUAUGGACUUAGUGCCUAUUAGAUAAACACUGGCCACUACGGACUUAGUGUCUAUUAGAUAAACAUUGGCAGCUAUGGACUUAGUGCCUAAUAGAUAAACAUUGGCAACUAUGGACUUAGUGCCUAUCAAAUAAACCCUUGUGGCGAUGGGCUUCAUGCCUAUUCCUUAGGACAAAUCCCUAGGAAUAAAUAUAGAAGAAAAAACUACUGGCACGUAUCAUGGAGGAAUCCCUGAACUAGUACUGUCAACAUAGAUGAUCCUUAGGGCAGAUCCUAAAGAAUAAAAGAAGAUAAUGGGGAUGAGAAUUAGGUUAAUUUUUUGAUGAUUAAACAUAUUGAUUAUAUUAUUGUGGGUUGAAAAACCUAAUCACUCAACUUGACCCACUCAGUUUAUUGUAUCACAUGUAGCGAUAUAAAAAAUACAUUAUGCUGAGAUAUUCGAGGAGUAUUAGGCCACUAGUUUAAUUACUAUAAGGCUUGUAAUAUUUCUUUAUGCUUAUGUUUCUGUAUUGACGAUGACAUCCCAAUGUUUUAAUAUAAAUCAAAUAAAUUUCUUCAGAAAUGCUUUGACAAUAUAAUUAUCAUGUUUUUGGGAACAAAUUUCGCAAUAUUAUUCCUCAAAAAGGAUACUCCAAUUUUAAUUAAGCAUAAACAAAUCGAUCUUUUUCUGGCCAUGAAAUUGGGGAUGCCACAGUCGCUAAAUACAAUUGCUAAUACAAAUUCGAAUAACCAGUAAAUAGUGUUUUCCAAAAACACUGCCAAACUCUGAUUAGACGUUAGUCCUAAGAUAAGUGAUCAUCUAUCCCUCCUUUCUACAAGAUACUACACCAACGUAUGUCGUAAUUGGGUGUUAUAUAGCCGAGCACUUUAGAUGUCGGUAACGAAUCAUCGGGCAAUCGACUUAAUGACUAAACUUGUUAAAAUGUUUCAUGUCAAUGCUCUUAGCACGCAUAUCAUGUCUUCCUUUGGUCAUCACUAUUGUGAAUGAAUCAUCAAAAAGAUAUUCACCUCACAACUAGAUCUCCAUGCUCAACAUUUUCUUAGGUGUAGUGGAAUUCCUCCUUUUAUGCAUUGACCUUUUGUGAUAUCAAGAAUCCUUAGUCAACAUGAAUGUACUUUCAAAUAAUGUUUUGAAUGGAAGUUUGUUACUCAAAACAAAUCAAAUGUCAACUAUGAAGUUUUUCUAAUGUAGGUACGCUCCUUGGAUACUUCACUUGCACUAAUGUGGUCUUAACCAUAUUGUCAAAUCUAGCGUCAUCUCCUAUAUGAAACCUUUCACGUUACAACUUAAAAUGAAUAUCCAUUUAGUCAUCUCUAAAAUUCAUGUCACUAUAACUCUUCUUGAUCAUGUCUCUACUGUCUACAAGCAACCAUUUCUUACUAUCUUUCAAUACCUCGGAACGCUCUUGAAUAUUAUCUAGCGAUCCAGUCAUGCCAAUUUCUGAUCUUAUCUCACGAUGCUCAAAACAUCUGAGACAUCAGAAUAAUCACAAGUCAUAGCAUUCAUGAUUGAUCCUAUACUAGAAGCAUAUGGGACUGAACUCAUCCUAUCAUUUAAUGACUAGUACAAAAGAACAUUUGAGAUUCAUUUAAUUCCUUGCUAUGAACAAUCCAUUUGGAAUUUUCAUGUUGAAACCUUCCAACACAUUGUGCUUUUACUGAAUCGUAUUAAUCAUUUCAUUAUAUACUUUUAGAUCCAGAGACCAAGUAUCAAUGUCAUUUAUCCAUGUCCAUCAUAGCGAAAGAAUUCUCGAGCUUUUGCACUCUGCAACUUAGAGACAAUGUUUCUUAUGAGUGAUAUUGUCAACAUGAAAUAUUAGGAAGACAAUGACACUCCCACAAGAUUUGACAUGUACUCAAGACUCAUAUAUACUUAUAGAAAGACAAAAAUCUUGACUUCCUUGUGGAAUAAUAGAUUCAUGCUACACAAUGCUUGUCUAAAUCUACAAAUAGAUUUUUCAAGCUUACACGCCUUAUUUAGAUACUUUGUAUGUUUAAAUCCUUUCUGAAUAUGUCAUACAUCCUUUGAAAGUUUCCUUUUAAGGAAAGUCAUUUAAACAUCCACUUUACCAUAUCUUAUAUCAAAGAAGGCAACAAUGGUAACAAAUAACCAAAUAUACAUUUCUCAGCUACUGUGAGAAUGUUUCCUAACAAUCAAUUUCUUGAGUCCGAGCGAAAACCAUUUCUACCAUACUAGCUUUGAAUGUGUGUACAUUCCUAUCCAUCUUAGUCUUCUCAUUAUAGACCUAAUAAUAACCCAUUGUCAUAUGACUAGGCUUUCCAUAAACAAGUUUCAAUAUUAGUUAUCCUUCAUGGACAUAAUUUUGCUAUCCGUAGACACCUCUAAUGGUAGCCAUAGGGCCCACCAUUGCUUCUUAGUAGCUAUUAGGCUUAUCUAAAUUGAUUAAUGUUUUAUUACUAAUCAAUGUAUCUCCUUCCACAGUUAGAUGAAACUCAUAAAAAUUAGGAGGUGCUCUAACUCUAUUAUAUCUUGUGAAGAGAUAAGGCAAUGUCAUUUGACUCAACCGGUUUAUCAACCUCAGGUUGAGAACUAAUGCCAACUAUGGGUUCAUUGUCAGUCAUAUCUUGAACUUCUUCAAGAUCAAUAUGACUCUCGUUGACUUCUUGAUAUAUUUAUGUUAUUUCUCUCAAGGAGUAUUCCUUCGAGCUAUAAUCACAAAUAUCGAAAGUCUUUACUGAAUGUUCGACAAUGUAACACUUCUCAGAUCUCGAUUCAAGUUGGUCAUUGGUUUUUCGUCUAACGAAAUACCUCACAACAAAAGAUCUAAAUAUGAGGGAACUUUCCAACUCCAUAUUUCAUGAGGUGUUUUCAAACCUACUUAGUUGGAUACAAGGUUAAAAAUAUGCUUUACUAUUUCAAGGGUACAUUCCUAAAAAUUUGUGAAUGGUAGCGAAACAAGACUCAUCAUAGAUCGAGCCAUAUAGUAUUCGACUAUCCUUUUAUUAACAUCAUUAUAUUAUGGUGUUAUUGGAGAAGCCAAUUAUGGAAACCGUUCCACAAUCUCUAAGUUGAUUGUAGAACUUAAUACUAAGUGUAACUUUCAGUUUAGGUGAGCAAUUGUCAACUUAAAAAAUUCAAAUUUUUUUGCCUACUCAUGACGUGAGAUAUGUAUAUCACGUUGUGAGGAGAUUAGUGAAAUCACGCAUCACCUUUGGGAUCACAACAUGAGCACAUAUGGCUCACGACAUGAGACUUGCAUGUGAGGAAACCCUAAUAUUGGGGGUUUUAUUUUCGUAUUUAAAUGAAGUGAGUGUUAGGGUUAGCCUACCCUCAGCCCUUAUCACCUCCUUGCACUCGCCUUUGAAACCCUAUCAUCCAUAUUUGUGUUGGAUCUAUAUGCCCAAGAAUCAUUAUGGAGUGAUAUUGCUAAUAAUAUAUGAUCCUAUAGGGUCACACCUUUAUCAAGUUGGCACAUUUUAUAUAUUUAUUGUGAUUAUUAAAUAAAAAUAUUGAUUCUUGUAUUUUAAUUAGGGAAUAAUUAUUCUUUUAUGAAAAUAAUAAUUAUAAGAGAGUAUUACUGGUUAUUAUUUCAUAUGGUAUGAAUUACUAAGCCAUGCACAACAUUUUCGAUUAGUUGGAUUCUUUUGUCUUUUACCUAAAGACAAAGUUUAUAUUUUAUAAACUUGGAGUUUAUAAAAAAUAAAGAAUCCUCCUCUUUUCAAGAGGUAUGGCCAAAAAUAUUAAAAUAUGGGGGUUGUUAUUCAACCUCCAUGCUUUUGUCUCCCAUGCUUCUAAAGGCUACCAUUACUUUAGAUUAUUUUAAUGGUUAGACCUUACCUUUCAUGGACUAUAUAAGAGUGUCUUAUGUAUGAGAAAUGUGCAAGUUUUUGGUCUCAUUUCUUCUCUUGAAGCACAUGGUCAAAACUCUCUCUUCUCUUCCCCCCUCUCUCUCUUUUAAAGUUAGUUUGGUGGUUUAGAAGACCUCUUGACUUGUUCUCUUUAGUUCUUAUUUGAGUUAAGCACUUAAAGGUUUAAGACACUCAAUAAUACAAGAAAGAACUAACAUUCCAAGUGCCUUACUCUUGAUGAUGGAUACUUGUAUAGAAGAUCAUACACUUUGAUAUUUUGCUAUCUUCAUCAACACCCUAAAACCAAGUGGGUCCAAAGGCUUCAAAGGUUAUCUCUAAAACAUCUUAUGGUUGGUUUUAUUUCAUUAUAACCUCUAUAAAUGGAUCCAUGAUGGUUUGGUUUUGUUAUGAACUAAAAAUAAACUUGUUAUUUUUAAAGUCUUUUGUUGUCGGUUUUUGUGAAAAACAAGCUUUUAUUUUGUAUCAAAACCCAACAAUUUGAUCUUGAGCUUAUUGGUGGUGAUUUUAGCCAAUGAGAAGGAGAGGAAGAGCAUCUAGUCCAUCAUUUCUGCAUUCAAGUCUCACCAUCAAGCAUUUGCACACCUUCUGGACCUUUUGUGAGUAUCAAGUUCAUUGCUUUAUGAGUCUAUAAGCUUAGAUCUAGGUUUUUAUGCUUAAUCCUUCAUAUGCAAGAUGAUGUAGUGUUUGGAAUACAUAAAGUCGCCAACUUUAUGGAUCUCCAGUGUCCCUUAAGUAGUAUAGAUGCUAGAUCUGGAAUAUGGUUGAGUUUGAUGACUCUUGCAUGAGAUUUGGGGCCAUUUUCUCCUUUUGUGCCCUAGUUAGUGUUUGGGACAUGUAUUGGAAAUGCAUGUCCAAAAAUCAUCGAUUUUUAUGAUGUUUUGGAGUAAAUAAGACAUUAUGGAGGAAUUGGUUGCUUGACCAAAAGAUAUUAAGAGUUUCAUUAAGAACUUCUGAUCAAAGCGUUCUCAUGAUGUGAGCACAUGGGUGUCACGACGUGAGAUGGUAUUCCUUGACUAUUUUGACUUAUUAAGUCACAACAUGACCAUUAGGGGUUACUACGUAACUAAUGGAUUAUAGGACAAUCGAGUGUGGAUUGAUUUUGACUUUGACCAAGUUUGACCUAAGGGUAUUUUGGGUAUUGGGUAUUUUGGGUAUUUUGAGUUGUAUUUGAGAUUGGUCACUAUUUGAUGAAUACGUGAUCGGUAGAGCUGAUAUUUUGAGUAGUGUCAUGUUCAACGAUAUUUUCAGACUGAGAGGUGAGUUUUCCUCAUUGUUCUUGUGGGUCGAAGGCAUCAAUGUCGGUCCAUCAGUUUAUGUAUCCUGGUAUAUAGGAUGUUGCUAUGUAGUAGUGAUAUGUAGAGUUGUCUGUUAGUUUUUUGACUGGUUAUAUGAUUAUUUGUUGCUAAGUAUAUGUCAUUUGUUAUUUAUAUGUCGACAAAGUAUGUGGGGUUGAGACUGUACCGCUUUGUGUUGUCAGUCAACAGACUGGGGCAUUCAAACCAGGAGGUUGUGGGCCGGGGGUAAUCCAACCAGGAGGUUAUGGACCCGUUAUGUGUUAAGCAAGCCAACCGUAAGGUUGUGGGCUAGGGGUAAUCCAACCAGGAGGUUGUGGAACCGAUAUCUGUUGAUUAUUUGUUUGUGUGGUGGUACUUUGGGGGAACUCAUUAAGCUUUGGCUUAUUGUUUCAAGUACUUUAGAUGAUCGUGGCAAGGCGAAUGUGUGAUCAUGCACAUCCUUCAGAUUUAUGUUAUUUGGAUUUAGGGAUACUUUGAUUACUGAAAUACACUUUUGAAACAAUGGUUUUGGGUUGUUUCUAAAAAUUUAAAAUUUAUUGAUAUUUUUGGGAUGUUACACUAAGGCAUUCUCCUUUCCUUUCAGAUUCGAGUUCAUUUAUCUUCUUGCCCAACUAAUUCCCUACUUUGUUCUGAUACUUUUGAAACUUUUCAUAGUGUUAAAAUUAUUCUUAAUCAUACCACAUAUACUCAACCUAUCAAUAAAUAUUACAUGGUAGUGUAUGUUGUCUUUUGUGGUGGAUUUGAUGGGUCCACACACAUUAGUAUGUACAAGAUCCAACAACCCUUUAUCACCAUCACAUGUCCAUGUGAAUAGUGACUAAGUCAUCUUACCAACAUACAAGACUCGCAUACAUCAUCCAACUCAAGGUCGAAUGAUUCCAAGGCAGGUCCAAUUGGAGCUUGGUGAUGCGAUUCUUACUUAUGUGGCCAAGGCGAUCGUGCCACAAGCACGAUCAUAUCUAAGCUAUUUAGAGGAAUCAAUGUUUAAGUCGUCACUGCUAUUAUUAGAAACACAAACUAUAAAUUUAUGAAUGUCAAUUUCAAGAAGAUUUUUUAGACAUAAAACCAUCAUCUUUAUAAACUAGAAUUGUCACUUUUCCAUUAUUAAAUGAAAAUUGAAAUUCAUGUUUAUAUUCAACGCAUAAGAUGAAAUUUGGUUUCUAAACAUCUCUGAAGAGUAAUAUCAAGCGAUUAGGUUUAUCCUAACUCCAUUACUAAACACAAGAUCAAAAUCCUCAAUCAUCGAGACAUCCGACAUUCGUCUAUUCCAAUGAUUAGGUUUAGCUCUUUAUGCUUAACUUCCUUCUUUCCUAUAGACUCUAUAAUGNNNNNNNNNNNNNNNNNNNNNNNNNNNNNNNNNNNNNNNNNNNNNNNNNNNNNNAAUGCCAUCUAAAUGUGAUUACCAUAUCAUGCAUUAAGGAUCCAUGAAUUUGAGUCUGAUUAUUCAAGUGCUUAAUGUAGAGUAAAACAUUUGAAUUUACCAUCCCAAAGAUACUUAGGCCAAUCUUCGUUUCAUAUGAUCCUUGCCACUGCACUAAUUGCAACUUGACUCUUUUGAGUCAUGGUCGCAUGGAAUAAAGGGCACACCAAUGCCAUUCCUUAAAAAUGGGAAGUUUUGUCCGAAAAUGUUCCUUUCUAUUUAGGAUUCAAACGUUUCAUAUUCAUUCCGCCAAAAUUCAAAAGUGAUAACUGAGAUUGGAUAAGAAAUCUAAUUCUUCUCCAGUUUUCUCAGUUUGGAGAAGGUUUAAGAACCACAUCAAUGUUUUCCUCCAUAUUAUUUGUAUAAUAAAUUAAGUCGAAAUUAUCAUAAGAACAAACGAAAGAUCGAAUAACAAGAUCUAUAGCAAGACUCUUGUCAAGGGCAACAUUUAGAUUCUUGAGUUUGUCUAUGUAGAUUUCAUUGAUUACAUAUAAAAGUCUAUUCUUCAAUUCGAAUGCAAUUAGGAACUUUUGAUGAUUUUCAAAUCACUCGUGUUUUGCCAUUUGGUGACACAUUUUACUCAAUUGCAAAUUCAUUUCAUACGUUCACAUGCUCAUAAAAUUCCUUUUGGAACAUCGAGGACAUAGACAUAAUAAUGCAAGAAACCUUCUUUGACAAAUCUACAUUUUAUGGGAACAACAACUUAUCUAAAGUUGACACAUUAUUGAUUUAGAGAUAUGAUCAUUAUAGACAUCUUUCCCAAUAUCAAAAUCAAGGAAAAUAUCAUAAUAAUUGAUCAAUUCUCGAGGGACAACAAAGAGAAACUAGAAUUAGUAAGUGGGUGCGGAGGUAGAAGAGGAUUCCAUCUAACUUAAAGGAAAAAAGUUUAAUUAAGUCGAUUUAUUCCUUAAAUAUUAACCUAAUUUUAAAUUAAGGCUAUGAUCCAUAAAUACAAUUCGUAAUAGGAAGAGGGAUGUCAUAAUUACAUCAUGAAUAUAUUUUAAGUAGGUAAAGCAUUUUACCAAUUUCAAUCAAAAUGAAACUCCUAAAUCUUUUGAGAUCAAAUGAACAAUCAAUGACGUGUUAAUCUCAGAUUAUGCUCUUCGAUUUGCGGCUAAGAUGCUAAGCAUCACAAAUAAGUUGAGAAUAACCAUGCAAACCCAUGUGAUAUCCUCUAGGUCAUUUAUGAUUUCACAUUGAUGUGCCAGUUAACCACACACGCUCCAUCAACAAUCAUAAUUUUUUAGAAUGUGCCAUCAUUUCAACUUUGUAGUCCCACAUUAGUGUGUCGGUUAACCACAUACACAACACUAACGACUCACAAAGAAAUAAUGUGCGUUUUCAUGGAUUAGUAUACACUUUCACAUUUUUAUUCUAAAGUAACUAAAGUGAGAUUUUAUAGAAGGUUUUAUUACUUUAUACAUUAUACUUAUAAUGUGAUUAGUGUCAUAUCAAACCCGCUCGACUAACGACCAUCCACCACACAAAUAAGUGACGGGUGAAAAGGAUUACCAGCUAAUAUUUAAUAAUUAGUAUUUGAGCUAUGAUUUAAGAAUUAUCUAUUAAUUAGACAUUUAAUUAAUUUUCUUAAAUCUUAUUAGGAUAAUCAUAUUAUUUUAUAAUUGGUAGUUAUCUUAUUUAUCUUCCUUUCAUAUUCAAGUUAGGAAUCUAAAUUACCUAGUUGAUAUAUUCAAAUUUUAUACAUUUAAAAUAACAUGGAUUAACUAGUAAUUGUCCUAUCUUUUGAAUCAUGGCAAGAAAAUUCAUAAAUCACAAUCCAAACUGUCUUCACGUCAUGACAGAAGGUUGGUCACGAUGUGGCAAAUAAUUUUUUAGUUUUUUUAUUUGUUUUGAGUUUAUCUAUUAUGUACCAUUAAUGUGAAAAUAAAGUUUCUAAUACCACUGAUGGGAAUUCUAGGUUACAAUAACAAUAUACUUGCGGAAUUUCACUUAACAUGUACAUGCAACCUAAAUUGGAUCUAUGUCUUUUCACAUCUAAUAACAACAUACCUACGAAAUACACAAACCAAAACCUAUGAAUCAAAAUUCAAAGUUAAGAAGACUUGAUUGAUUAAAUAAUAUAUUUUAUCCCAAUUCAAAUCAUUUUCUUAUUAGCAACUAGGAGACUUCUAGAAACCCUAAGAAAGACUCCAAAACUGUCCAUGUCAUGGAUUAUUAUAGAGUUGUCUCUUUUUUUCAACUAUUGAACAAUUACAAAUCACCCCUUGCACAUUUAGUUAAUUCCAAUUAAUUACGAAUUAAUUCCAAAUUAAUUCUAAUUAAGAAUGAACCAAUUUUGACCAUUUAUAAUUAAUUUAUUAUACAUAUAAUAAAUUAACACAUCAUCAAUUAAAUAUUUCUAAUUAAUAUAUUAAUUACAUAAUAUAUUAACAAAUCAUUUUAAAUCUAUCAUUUGAUCAAUCUAAUCCAUUUCCUGGUUAUAAGGGCAAACCAAAAAAAAUUUUACUUUUAUUCAUCAACAUUAUACCAAUUUAGAUAGGACCUUAGACACUUAAUCCAACAAAUUCAAUGUUCAAAAAUGGAUUCAUUAUCGGCAAGAUCUUGAAGCUAAUCGAUUUUGUAUUAUUUUUCUUGAAGGUCAUCGUUUUGACUCUACGAAUUUUGUGGUGGAUGGCAGCGGUGGAUUGUGGUGGUAGUAGUGAUUAACUUCUUUUUUAAUCUCGUUAUUUUGCAGGUAGUAAAGAAGAGAUUUCAUUAGACAUUUUGUUGAUUUACCGAUCCACCAUGUUUAAAUUGAGACCAUGGUAGACGACAGAGCACAUGAAGUUGAUUCUGACGACGAGAAUUAAAUGUAUCUGGGUCACGGGAUAUUUGAGUGUGUCUAACAUUAGUCCCAUCACAACUAUUAUACCUCGAAUAAGGUAUCAUCGAGGGGAUUUAGAUAUGAGGGGGAGGAUUAAAAACACGAAAUGAGAGAAUGGACCGAUGAAGCAAUAUACUAAGGUCUGUCAUGUUCGGAAAAUAUAAUCUAUUCUGGCGAGGAUGGCGAUUCCAGUGAAGAAGAAAUAAAUAUUAGACAUUCCAACAUACCAAGCUUCGAUUGUCCGACAUGCUUAGUGGCGAGGAUGAACGUACAAUGACCGAUGCUAAAUCCGGUGAGAAAAUGAAGGAGGACAUAGGUUAAGUAAUAUGAAGAGAGCGAUGUUAGUAGUCCAAAAAUAACAUUGAGUAUGCCAACUACUGUAAGGAAUAUUAGAUGUCCUUUAAAAAUAUAUAAAGAUCUAAUUUAAAAUGUCACAUCACUAAAGUAAUUGUCUCUCCCCACAUCAGGUCAUAUGAUAGUGUAAUUGACACGUAAAGGUUAACUUUAAUGGUCUAUUGUGCCAAAAAAAAAAUAUAAAUGGUCGAUCUAAGACAACCACAAAACUUGAUUGCUAGUAGAAUGUCAUUUUCCCUUACAUUUUCUUUGAAUUUGUUAUUUGGUGUUUGGUAAUGUUUCUAAAUAUUUAUUUAACUUUAAUAUGGUUCUUCCCCUAAAUGAUAAUCACUUAUUAUGAUUUUAAGUUUUAAAAACAUUUUUAUAGGUUUUUAACUUUAGGCUUUGAUAGUUUACUCUAUCAAACACCCUUAAGAGGUUUGAUCCUAAUAGUGCUUAAUAGUCUCCUUAAGCUCAAUCUAUGUAUUUUGACAUGUUUUCAAAUUUGAAAACUUAGUUGAAGACCAAUAUGAACUUAGCAAUUGGAUAUUAAAUGUUAAAUUAUUUGAAAUUUAAGAUGUAUUUAAGGAUGUUACUUUACCUUGGUUUAUUGAUUAUGUUGUUACAACCUCGUAUGUCUCGACACUUUAAACUUUUUAAAUGUUAAGGACUUAACUAGUUAAAACCUAUAUCCGCAAGUAGUUUCAUGAAAUGAUUCUUAUUUUUCACAUUAGUAGUUGUUUUUUGACUAUCUGAAAAAGAUAUCUAUGAAAUGUCUUGGAUAUUUUUCAAACAAUAAAGUUUUCAAUGGUGGAUCUUAAUUAACAUGAACAAUUUGCUUUAUGAUUAAAUCAGUGAUAUUCAUAUGGAUAUCACUUUUUCUAUAACCCACUUAUAAUCAUAUAUAAACAUGAAAAAUAUGUAAAAUUCAUUUUUAUGAAAUUUGUUAGAAAGAGANNNNNNNNNNNNNNNNNNNNNNNNNNNNNNNNNNNNNNNNNNNNNNNNNNNNNNNNNAUAUAUAUAUAUAUAUAUAUAUAUAUAUAUAUAUAUGUAUAUAAAUAACGUGUAAAUAUUACGUUCAAUGUUUUUAUUAAAAAACUAAUAUGAGAUUUCUUAAUAAACAGAUUCAAGAAUUUCACCUCUCUGAUUUGUGUUUUUCUAUACAUUUACAAGAAACACGGUUUUACAUUUUUCAGUCUCAUUACAGUUUAAUCUCAACUAGUUCUAUGAUCUAGCUCACUAGUCCUAUCAAACUCGUUCGACUAACUACCAUCCACCACACAAAUAAGCGAUGGGUGAAAAGGAUUAUCAGUUAACAUUUAACAAUUAGUAUUUGAGCUAUGAUUUAAGAAUUAUCUAUUAAUUAGACCUUUAAUCAUAUUUCUUUGAAUUUGUUAUUUCGUGUUUGUUAAUGUUUCUAAAUAUUUAUUUACCUUUAAUAUGUUUCUUUCCCUAAACGAUGAUCACUUAUUAUGCUUUUAAGUUUUAAAAACCUUUCUAUAGGUUUUUAACUUUAGGUUGGAUAUUUGACUCUAUAAACACCCUUAAGAGGUUUGAUCCUGAUAGUGCUUAAUAGUCUCCUUAAGCUCAAUCUAUGUAUUUUGACAUGUGUUCAAAUUUGAAAACUUAGUUGAGGACCAAUAUGUACCUAACAAUUGGAUAUUAAAAGUUAAAUUAUUUGAAAUUUAAGAUGUAUAUAAGGAUGUUACAUUACCUUUGUUUAUUGAUUGUGUUGUUACAGCCUUGUAUAUCUGACAUUUUAAACUUUUUAAAUGUUAAGGACUUAACUAGUUAAAACAUUUAUCCGCAAGCAGUUUCAUGAAAUGAUUCUUAUUUUUCACAUUAGAGGUUGUUUUAUUUAACUAUCUGAAAAAGAUAUUUAUGAAAUGUCUUGGAUAUUUUUCAAACAAUGAAGUUUUCGAUUAUGGAUCUUAAUUAACAUGAACAUUUUGCUUUAUGAUUAGAUCAGUGAUAUUCAUAUGGAUAUCACUUUUUUAUAACCCACUAAUAACCAUACAUAAACAUGAAAAAUAUGUAAAUAUCAUUUUUAUGAAAUAUGUUAGAAAGAGUAUAAAUUGCAAGUUAUACAUACAUACAUACAUACAUACAUACAUAUAUAUAUANNNNNNNNNNNNNNNNNNNUAUAUAUAUAUAUAUUUGUGACAUCCCCAAAAUCACGGCCAGAAAAGACCGGUUUAAUUUAUGCUUUUAAAACAAGUUCAUAGUAAUCCUUUGAUUAAAAGAGUUGCGGAAUUUGUUCCCAAAAUAAAAUAUGAUAAAAUAAGAUUUAUCAAAGCAUUUCAUAAAGAAAUGUAUUUUCAUUAUAUAACAAAACUCGGGAUGUCAUUUUCCGAUAAACAGAACAAAAGCAUAAACAUUACAAUACAAACCUUACAACAGUUAUAUAAAACAAUAUGUCUAUAAUCCAAAAAUAACUUGACAAGUCAUCCAACUUAUGCUCUGGCUCCACUACCUGUAAUACAAAGAAAACUGAGUGGGUCAGACUUGGGAGCCUAGUGAGCAUAUAGGGUUUUCAACCCACAAUAAAUAAUUAUAUUUAAUUCCACCAACCAACAAUAACCCAAUUACCCAUUCUCGUUAUUCUCACUUUACAUCUGUAAGACAACUAACAUAAGGGACCUAGUCUAAGAAGAUUUCAUCAGGGCGACAACACAUGCUUCGGGGGUUCCUCAGCAAUAUAAGUCAAAUAAGGCAACCAUGAGGGGGAUGGAGUAUAGCGAAUGAACACCCAAGUUCAUUAACACCUACAGGUGGCGAGCCUACUAGCGUUCCAUAAGACUGUCUAGAAAAGUUUGUGGUCGUCAUCUAAACUCCGCUAGAUGACUAAAUCAAAAACAUCGAGGCCUCUCAUCUUUUUAUCACAAGACAACUAUCUACCCAUGUUCUACCCAACAUUUUAGUAGAUAAAUUAUUAAUUUUUAUACAUACUUUAAAACCUGUAUGGUAUGUUCAUUCAAAACACAUUCCAGAUAAAAGAUGAGACACAUAAACAUAACACGUAUUUCAUAAAGAAUAAAUCAUAUCUAUGAGAUUAGAAGAUAACAUCGAUACACUCACAUAACACAUAUACUUAGUACGUUAAAUCGAUACCUGUAUAAAAUCGUGCAUUUGAAAGAGAUUAUGUACCCCUUUCAAAUCAACACCAAUAUAUAAACACAUAGCACGUAUUUCAUAGUAAAUACUUCGUAUUUACGUAUUUAUGAGAUUUCUUAAUAAACAGAUUCAAUAAUUUCACCUCUUUAAUUUGUGUUUUUCUAUACAUUUACAAGAAAAACGGUUUUACAUUUUUUAGUUUCAUUACAGUUUAAUCUCAACUAGUUCUAUGAUCUAGCUUUAUUGGUUCUCACUAAAUAACAUGUUUAGAUGCAAGCUAAAUUAUUAUUCAUGCAACAAGAUUAUAUAAUGGUUAGGCUAUUGGAUAUACUGCAACAUCCUAAAAAUAUGACUCAAAAUUUUCAUUUUUCAUUCAAGUAAAAACAAUAUUCCAAAUCAUUGUUCAUACAACCCAAAUAAAAUAAGUAUGUCAAACAUCAUAGAAAUCAGAGUGUGUCCUAUAAACAGAAUCCAUAUGGUGUGUGCGAUGCAGUAAACUCGAGCUCUUCUCCUUGGAACCAGAAGUACGUGAAACAUAAACUAAAAAUCAUAAGUACAAAGCUUAGUCAGUCCCCCAAAGUACUACAUACCAACAUACAUAACAUAUAACGAGCCCCGCCCUAGCUCGCAUAACAGUCCCCGCCCAAUGAGUAUAACGGGCCCUGCCCUAACUCGUAUAACGGGCCCUUCCCAAUAAGUAUAAUAAGCCCCAACCUAACUCACAUAACGGGCCCUACCCACAUAUAAAUCAUAUAGCAACUAAUUACAUACAAGAUAAUUAUCGGCCCCGCCCAUAAAACAUACAAGCACAUAUACAUACUCGUGCCACACAAACAAUGAGUAUCCUAACAUAUCAUAUCAUGGGUCGGCAUUGGUGCCUUCGACCCGCUAUACAUGGUAAGGAAACUCACCUCGAAUGCUGAAUCUCAUGGAAGAUCCCUAGUUGUUGUCCUGACGACUCCCCGAGCUAUCAGUACAAAAUAACACCCUAUUAACACUUGGGUUCCAUACUAUAACUAAUAAUCCAUACUUGGGGUGAAAUGACCAUUUUACCCAUGGCAUAGCUUGAUCCAAGACUAAGGCCCAAAUCCAAAUCUAAAAGGCCCAAUAUCGAAUAAUCCUUUAAGGCCCACUUAUGGCCCAAUUUUCCAAAUUGGGUCCAAUUCCUUCUAAUGGGCCUUUGCCCAAGGCCCAAUAAUAUUUAUGGCCCAAAAAUCCCAAAUUCAGAUGGCCCAACUAAACCCUAACCUUCUAAGCCCAAAACGUGACCCAAACCUAAGGCCCAACUUUGAAAUGCCACCUAACUGAGUAUGCGGGGCGUACUCAGUUUGUAUAUUAAGCGUACUUGUGUUAGGGUGCAAAGCUAUUCAUGAUUGACUUUGUAAAUGUUUGACUUUUGUAAAACCCACUUGCAUGUGGAGUAUUAGCCUUGUGACAUAUGAGAGAUAGAGAGUGAGUGAGAGACAUGUAAACACCUCUAUAAAUAGUGGGUUCAUACCACUUGUAGAGGUGUGCUUGAGAGAUGUAAAAGUUGAGUGUGUAAGUGUGUGUUAUCAAUGUAGUCAAGAUCUAGAUCCUUUUUGUAUAACACCAUACAUAUUCAAUACAUCUCUUGAACACCCAAAUCACCAUGUUCAUUAUGCAUUCUUUAAUUCCGCAUGCCAAACCAUGUUCUUAUGUCACUACAAUUGGUAUCAGAGCGGGUCUUCAAGAUCAAGGUGGUUUUUGAAGAUCGAUUCUUGGUUUGGCAACUUUUGUCGCAAUUUGAGCAAUUUUGGUGAGUCUCUCUCUAUGAUCUCUCUUAAUUUCAUUGAAUUCGUGUGUUGCGUUUUUGAUUUGUGAUCGUUUGACUCAUUGGAUCAAAUAUUUUUUGAAAAAAACCCCAUUGUGUGAUCCAAUAAUUUUUGUUUAGAUCAAGUCAACCAAAAACAAAAUCAAUUUUACUGUUCAUCAAAUUGAAUUUCAAGCCCAAAGACAAAUUCAAAAGUAAAUCCAUUUCGUUUAUUCAAAUAUCGAGUCCAUUACUCGAGUUUGUUAUUGUUCAUCAUUUGUGAUCGUAGCCCAAAAUCAUUAUCUGAUUUAUUUGAGCCCAACAGUUGAGAUGUUACUGUUAAUAAUCCGUUUGUGAGCCCAAAAAUUCGUUUACAUCAUAUGAUUUUUGAGUUUUGUUCCAGAUCUAGUCACAUGUAUGCAUAAAAAAGUUGUACUUUACUGAAAAUUUGAGACUCGAGUGUAGUUCGACAUAUUCUCACGUUUUUGUUCUCGAUUUCAUGUUUAUGUUAACCGAUUAAAAUUUGUUCGUAAUCUAGACUUGUGAAUCGAUUGAAUUUGAGUUGUUCUAUUUCAUAUCGAUUAUGAUCAAGUCAAAUUUGAAAAACAUCAAAUUGUAUCUUUGAUUUCUAUGAAACUGACCAAGAACACUUGUAGGAGGUGAAGAAAAGUUGGUUGAACAAGUUUUGAUCUGAAAUUUGUGGUUAGAUUCGUCAAUUUCGUGUUUCUUGAUCUUUGACUUCGAAAAGUCAAUCCCAUAAAAAGUCAAACUCGACUUCUAUGGGUUGAUUCAAUGAAUUGGAAGAAGAAAUUGGAAGAUACAAGUUGUUUUUGAACUGUGAAUGUCAAAAUCAUGUUCAAUUUGGUGUUUAAUUUUGAAAUUUCUUGGAUUAGAGCUAAUGGUGUCGAUGCCUGUUCUUAUGUUCUUGGUUGAUUUUGGAACUCGAUCUUGGAAUUUAUUUGGGGUCGAAUGUUCUUAAUGUGAGUCAAAGUUGAUGUUUUGGGUUCGUGAAUGAAAAGCAAAGUUAAUGCAAGAGUCGAUCGAUGCGAAUUCAAGAAAGAGUGGAAAUCGAUUGAUAUCCAAAGACGAUGGUAAAAGAACGAAGGGUGUAUAUGAAUGUUUUGGAUUAACAUCUGAUAACACGAAUUUGGGAAGAAAGCAGGUCGAUUUCAAAUGGGAAGGCUGUAUGAGAAUCGAUAGUUAGAAACGAACUGGGAAAGAUCGACUUGGUAAGGAAUUAUGUUUUGAUGUGUCGAUGUCUAAAUUGGAGUUCGUUGUGGGAUUUAUGGAGUCAACUUUCGCAUCAAUGGAUGAUAAUUCGCAUCUGGAAAUCGAUUUAGGAAUAUGACUGAUUGAAAUCGACGAGUUAGAUGUCACUUGGAUUCAACAUUGAGUAUUUUACUGGGAAUCGAAUUUGAUUUGGCAAUUGUAGAAGGCUUCGCUUUUGUGAUACUUUGAUGACGAACAGAUGGUCGAUGCGAAGUCUAAGUGGAUAUUGGAAUCGAUUAUGCGAAGUUAAGGAUUAAAGGAAGUCAUCAUUCGCAAUCUAUGAUGUUUUGGAGACGUUCGCAUCUGGAAGCAAAGUGGAGAAGAAACAGAUUAUGUCGAUUCGCAUUCCUAAACUUUCACUGAAAUGACACUUUAUACAACUUCACAAAUGGGUAAUAAAAGUUGAGAAAUUGCAAAAUUUUCAGUUCUGGUCCCUGCAGUUUGUGCGAAUUUACACAUUCUACCCAGUUUCGCAAAUGGGGGUGUGUUUCGCAUAUUUGGCUGUUUUGGGCACAACGAGUCACUGCAGAAUUUUGAAAUUGACAAUUUCUACCCAUUUUUGAGAAAUUUUGUCAAAGGCAAUCCGUGAACGAAGCUAAAAAUUCAAUAUUUUUUGGAUUUUCCGGAUUGAAGCACAAAGUUUAUGCCACAUGUUAAGGGAGAGUUUUGACAUGAAAAAUUCCAAAUACACCAUGUUCUUUUUCCUUUGGAGUUUUAUAAUCAAAUUUCGAUUAUAAAAAGGGGAGAAGCUUUAUAUGGAAAUUCGAACUUGAAUUUUUCAUAUUACGUGGAUUUGAAGACCGAAGUGAUCUUGAAGUUUUGAAGCCUACGAGAUGAUGCAAUUGGAAGUUCGGAAGUGAUGUAUUCGAAAUGGGUUUGGAAUUAUUGAAGAUUUUUAGGGUGUGUUUUUAUGCGCAACUUUAGGGUGAUUAUUUGGAGUUUGGGAUACUCUUAAUCAUUCGUUGCUGCUCGGAUUGUAUUGUCUCACAUCCUAGGCCCAAAUUGAAGAAUCAUGGAAUAAUUGAAGAUUGAAGUUCGUUUCAACAUGUGUCACCUUUGAGGCUCGAACUGCGUAGUUGCUCGACUUUGGAAAAUUUGAAGAAGUUCAUUCAUUCCUAACUUUGAGGGGGAGAAUGUUAGGGUGCAAAGUUAUUCAUGAUUGACUUUGUAAAUGUUUGACUUUUGUAAAACCCACUUGCAUGUGGAGUAUUAGCCUUGUGACACAUGAGAGAUAGAGAGUGAGAGAGAGACAUGUAAACACCUCUAUAAAUAGUGGGUUCAUACCACUUGUAGAGGUGUGCUUGAGAGAUGUAAAAGUUGAGUGUGUAAGUGUGUGUUAUUUAUGUAGUCUAGAUCUAGAUCAUUUUUGUAUAACACCAUACAUAUUCAAUACAUCUCUUGAACACCCAAAUCACCAUGUUCAUUGUGCAAUCUUUAAUUCCGCAUGCGAAACCAUGUUCUUAUGUCACUACAACUGGCUCGAAGGCUUGUACGCUGCGCGUACGGGCUUGUACACACAAAGUACUCAUCCAGAUAAACCAUCUUCUAGAUUUAACUCUCAACCCAUUAAGACUUCACCCCAUAAUGCAUAUUUGACCUCCUUGAGCUGGGUUAUCACGUAAAGUUGCCAACUUUACGUCCAUGCAUGGCUAUAUGAAGCUCUAAAGCUCAACAAGGACUUAAUAAGAGACUUAAUGAAUGCAUGAGGCCCUAAAGCCCAUAAAGUUGGCACCUUUAUGUCUAAGGAGCCCAUGAUAACCUUAGAUUUGAAAGAAUAAGUCUUUGGGACGUCCUAAUUCCAUCAUUCACCCAAACCAUGGCUAAAAAUAUAACAAUUUAACCCAAAAAGAAAUCUAAGCAACUAUUAAUCAAGAUAAUACUUGAUACCUCAAACUCCUUGCAAAAUGGGUAAUGGUUCUAGAUCCAAGACUUCCUCUCCAAGCUUAGCAACUUCAAGAUCUUCUAACUCCUUCACAAUGCACAAAAUAAACACGAAACUCUCUUCAAAGGCUCAAAUGCUUAACAAUGGUGGCUAUAACUCGAUUUAGGGUUUUGGAGGCGUUGGAUGCUGGAAAUGAGGCCAACCCCAGAGAAUAAGGUGACUUAUAUAGGGUGCAAGACCCUCAAUCAGGGUUUCAUUAAAGUCCACGUACGCCCAACGUACAUGACCUAGGUCCCGACUCGGCAAUAACUCAGUACGUUAAGCGUACCAAGUGGUACGCCCCGCGUACUACUUCAAGGACCAAAUUUGAUAAUUUCAAAAUAGAGGGGUCAUAAGGUACAUACCAGGGCAUAAGUGUUACAUGUACCCUCACCACAACAUAUGGCAAGGGUGUUGUGGUAUUGAAUGGAGGUGGGAGAACAUCACACCAAGUGGUGUGAUGAGUAUAAUACCUUCCACUAUGAGAACCGAAACCAAUACAUAACCUCCUUUUUUUUCUCCAUUGUUUUGACACUUACAAUACAAUAUCCUAUUGAUUCAUAUUUAUUAAACAUUAUAUAAGAAGUAUAAAAAAUAAAGGAAUAAUGACAAAAAAAUGAGGUACGGUAAAAAUAAAAGGAAUGGGAUGAAUAUACAUUUUGACCGUAUUAUGAAUAUUCACUUCUAUACCUUGUCUCUACUUAUAUCACAUCCUUGUUUCCCAAAUCAUUCAUAUAAAAAUCUAUUGGGUGAUUCGAUCUCGAGGCCUUUACUGAAAUAUGUGAAGGAGCUUCCGUUGACGCAACUGCCCCUCCAAAAAAAAAUACUGUAUAUAACAAUUUAUUACUACUUCAAAGUGAAAAAUCUAAAAAUCUUGAGGGGAGUCAAGUGUCGAAUUCCAAAACCACAGGGCACGAAAUGGAUUCGUCAGCCUUGACGACACAGUACACACCAACAAGCCAUAAACCACAAACCGGAAAAAGAAAGACGAGAAAAAAACGGAAGGAAAAGGAGUGGAGGAUCGAUUCUUCACAGGAGAAUCCAGCCAUAGCAGCACUUACCAUCCCCAACACAUAAAACCCUUCGCUUUUCUUGCUAAAAAGGGAAUCUUUCAACGCAAAGGGUUCGUAUUCUGUUCGUUGUUUCAUCAAAUUUCUUCAUUGGUUACCCAGAAUUCGCACAUUUACAGAUCUCUUUCACCUCCGUAAGUCUUAAUUGAAAACCCGUUUUCAGUUUUCUCGAAAUCUCCACCGGUUCACAUAAUCAGAGCUCAAUUUUUUUGUUUUUCCACUCUUUUAGCUUAUUCGAUUUUAGCAACUUACUUCCUUUCUUAAAUUUGUUUCUAUAUACUUGAAAUUGAAAUCCUCAGUAGCUGAACCUUGCCUUUGAAUACUUCAAUCAUCGCGUGGGACAGCUAGUAGCUUGACGCAGCAGGGGAAAAUGUUUCGUAAUCUAUGAUUAGGUAUGCAAUUGCCAUAAACUCAGUUCAUAUUAUCUGUAUGUUUAUAUUUUUGGGGAUUUUCGCAUUAGUUUUUUUCAUUGGCUAUAUUGGGUCCAUAUAUUAUAUGCGAUUAUGGAGCUAGGUUUCCAAUUGUUACUCUGAUUGUGCUUUCAUUUGAUCAAAUUUGAAGUUUCUAGGGCUAGCUAGGGAUUCAUUAUGAUCCCUCACAUGUCACACAAACAUCAUGUAUAUGACUACUUUAAACACUCUGUAUCUCUUUUAUUCAAUCAAUGAAAUCUUUCUUAACCUCAGUUGCUAAUAAUUUCAUUUGAUUCUGAUCAAAAACCAUACAAUUGGCUGAUUUCAAUUUCCUUCAGGUGUCUAGGGAAAGACCUCUACUAGUUUACUUGAAUGAGGAUACGAAUGUGGCUUUCAAUAGAACAAAGUUUUUACCUGAUUUGAACUUGUGGGGAGGUGUUCAAGUGCAUUAGUGAUGUGGACAAAUGUCUUCAAAAUCGUACGUUUCUUCCCUUUACACUAAUCUUCUUUUGAAUAUAUUAUUAUCGCUUGUAUUCGGCUAUAGUAAUGUUAACAAUUGCUAUCUACUUAUCAUUUUCAGCUAAUUAUUCAAGUUCUUGAUUUUCUUCCAUUUUGGACGCGUGUUAUUGUUUCUAAAGAUCACAUGGUUUUAUUAUUCAUAUUCUCAUUUACUUUCUCUCUUUGACUUUUCUGAAGGGUGGUCUACAUCAAGUAUCAUGGUUCCAAUAUCUCCCGAACGAAUCUGAUCCCAACAUUUCUGAUAGAAGGUUCUUCAUUUUCACAAAUUUUAAUACUUUAGUAUAUUAUAAUUUAUUAAUUCUUGCUAAAAAUCAUAUCUUUUUCAAUUUUUUCACAGUGCAAAGUUAAACCAAAGAGAUUUUGCUGCACAAUUAGUCCUUUCAUCCCAUUUGCAGUUACAAAAAGAUGGAUUCCUUAGCACAUGGGGUAAUUCUUUUGUUGGCCCUUGGGAUCCAUCUCAGGGUCUACAUAACCCUGGUAAACCUUUAACUCUUCAAUCACCUGUUUCAAGAAUUGAAAAGUGACAUAUUUAGUCCUCCAACUAAUUCUUACUUGACAAAAUCUUGUAGAUGAGAAAAUCAAGCUAUGGCUUUUUAUCCCUGGUCGCCAUUCGUCUCCCAAUGAUAAAGCCAAAGCCAUUGUAUCUAAACUAAGAGGUGCACUUUUUUGUUGCAAUCCAUGUUUAUAAUCUGUGAAAACAUAUACUAGCAACAAUACUAUAAAAAUACAAAAAUAAUGAAAGCAGAUAUAACUUAUAAGCAAUCAUGGUGUAAUCCAUGUUCAUAAUUUGUUGCAGUUCUAGCAUCUGGAGUUUGGUUAGCACCUGGGGAUUCUGAAGAGGUGGCAGCUGCACUUUCUCAAGCUUUAAGGAAUUGUAUUGAAAGGUUCUUUUUUUUUUUUUUUUUUUUUUUUUUUUUUUUUUUUUUUCCUUUUCUAUUCUUUAUUUAAGUUUCUUGAAGAAAACUAUAUAAUAAACAUAUGAAUUUCUUUUUCUCUUAACUAAUGUUGACAGAGCAUUAGUAAAUCUUUCAUAUAUGAGAUUUGGGGAUGUAUUUUCAAGAUACCAUCCAUCUUCACAAGGAGAAUCAUUUAGGUAUUGAUCAUUGAUAUUCUGUAAUUGUUACUUUUUGGGUGUUUAAGUAGCUUAAAAAUUACGAUUUUUGCCAUUGUAGGAGAGGCAGACCAAUGCUUGAGUUCAUAUUUACUGCAACAGAAGAAGCAGUAUUCGUUCAUGUCAUAAUAUCUGCAAAGUUUGUUGCUUUCUUCCUUCUUUUUUUCUUUCAUCAAAUCAUCAAUUGUCUUUAUGACUAUGAGCUCUUAUUUGCUAUAUGAAGAUAUUUACAUUUAUACCCUUCUUCCUACCAGGCAUGUUCGGGCACUUUCAAAUGGUGACAUGGAGGCAAUCUUGAAGCGCACGUCUAGUCAUUCUAGUGACAGGCUUCCAGGUUGAUUUAUAGCAUCCUACUUUCAUUUAUUUCUAUUACAACUUUGUACUCAUUUUUAUUCUUAUUAAAGCAUUGAUUGUACUUUGAAAAAAUCUAUUCAAUUAUAGCAGUAACUGCUAAAUCUUUUUCUUUUUGGACCAUUAUACUCUAAAAAUCUUUCCAUUUAUAUUUGGAUGACAGAUUUUCCAAAAAACAUUCUGUAAUAAGAAGAAAUGAAAGUAGAAUGCUAUAGUUAACAAAUCAAGAAAAUUAAAAUUGCUAUUUCUUGUAUUUAACUCUAUAAAGUAUUUCCUUAUGCAGUUAUUGCCUCACCUCAUGGAAUGCGUGGCAGACUUACAGGAUUUUGUCCAGGUGAUCUUGUGAAGCAAUUGUAUUUCAGGUAUUCCUUCUUUUUAUAAUAAUUAAUAGUUUGAUAAUAACAAGUAACAACACAUAACUCAUAUUUCUUGUUUUUUCUUGUUCUUGUAAUGAACAGUUCUGGAAAGUUCAAGGCUUCAAAUGGAAUUGUAGGUCUUCCAAACCAAAUGUCCCAAACCUCUGGGUGCCAACUCAGGGGCCAAAAAUGUUACCUUGAAGUAACCCUAGGGUGCGAAAGUGUCAAAAAUGAGAAACCAUUACCAUCAAAUUCAACUAAAAACUUUUCAAAGCAUCAUUCAACUGAAAAUGAGAAGGGGCCCACGUACGACAAAACUUUCAUAUAUCCAACCGAAGCAGUUCUUGUACCCGUUGUUCAAACAUCAUCCGCUAGAUCCUCUCUAAAAAGGCAUCCCACUUUAUCUUUCAUUAUUUAAAAAAAAAGAAGUAAAUAAGCUUAUAUUGCUAUUAUCUAUUUAUAUGUUCACUAAGUGUUACUUUAUUGUAUAGAUUCUGGCUUCAAAACUGGAUGGGCCCAUCAUUGUCUGGUUCCUCUUUCUCUAUGCAAUGGUAACUCUUUUUGUUUUCAAUCAAAACAUACAAAAACAUUGUAACAUUUACAAUUACAUAAUCAUAAUCAUAAUCAUAAUCCGAAUUCUGUUUGGAUCUCUGUGUAGUGAUGCUUUGAGUAGCAUGGAUGGAUCAUGGCAUGAUGCAAGCAUCCGAUGUCAACAGGGUUACAAUAGUAGUGGGAAUAGUAAUAGUAGCAGUAUUAGCACAAGUUCAUCUAGUGAUAGUGAUUAUAGAAUGACAGCAGAAACUGGUGACCUUGAAGCUGAUGCUGAUUCUCUUUCUUGCAUAAAAUCUGGAUUAACUUCUGCUGAUCAAAUGCAUAUUGAUGCCUCCAAAAUGGUACAAUCAUUUAUCUAAAUAGUAAUUUUUUUUGUUGCAUUAUCUUAAAUUAUAUAUUUUAAAUCUAUGAAUUAUAUAAAAUUAUGCAGGGUAGCAAGCGAUCAAGGCCUGGAAUGACUGAGUCAUAUGGUCAAGCUGGAGCAGUCAUUAAUGACUUUGGGUCAAUGGAAGUCAACAAUGAGCAAGGUGGGUCCCAGUGGGAUUGGGAUGAUGAUGACAGAGGCAUGGGUAUGGACAUUCAAGCACUUCUCUCAGAGUUUGGAGAUUUUGGAGACUUUUUUGAAAAUGAUGCUUUACCUUUUGGAGAAGUAAGUGAUAACAUUACAAAACAAUAAAAUCUUUUAAGAAAAAAACUUUUUGUUUUCUUCUAAACUUUUAUGAUGUGUUUUUUUUUGAAAAUUUUAAAGCCACCAGGGACUGAAGAGUCACAAACACAAACUCCCAUGUUUUCUGCAACGGAUGGUGGAGAUGCAAGUAGCAGCCCAUUUACAGGGAUGAUGGAUGCAUCUGAUCAGAUCAUUAUUCCACUUGGGUUUUCAUCUUUUGAAAGUUUUAAUCCUCCAUCAACUGUUGUAGAAGAAUCCAUAAGCAAAAAUCAAGAACUCACAAAAGAAACAGUGUCAUCAGGCUCAAUGAACUACAACCCACCAGCUAACAACACUGAGUUUGAUUAUGUAAUAAAAGCAGAAGCCAUGAUGACAUUCGCACCUGAAUAUUCAGCAGUUGAAACCCCUGGAAAUGACUUGUUAUUAACUGUCAUUAAAACCCCAUAUGUCCCAAAAUCAAGAACAACCGAAAGUGCAAAUUCAAGCACGAAUAAUUACAUCUACUCUUCAAUUCCUCCUAAGCAUGAUUUAUCUGAUGAUAAAUCGGGUGCGAAUUUGAAUGAUAAGAACUACUACACUCAUGUGGAAAGUGGAAAACUUAAAGAUAAAAAAGAUGUUAAGGAUGAAAAGCUUUCGUUUCGCGACAGUUUUGGUUUUGGAGAAGAUGUUGCUAAUGCUAAUGCUUCAGGUUUCAGUUCUUUAAGUACUGCUUCAAGAUCAAAGAUUUUGGAAGGAGGAUUAGGAAUGGAGAAUUUUGUUUUGUCAUCAAAGACAGGUGUCGCGAAUGAACUCGAAUGCGUCAUGUUUCAAGCUUUUAUGUGUAGAAUAAGACAUACAUUAUUAGCUUCAAACAGAUUAUCCGGGAACAACAACAACAACAACAACAACAACAACAACAAUAAUAAUAAUAAUAAUAAUACAAUUUUGUAUCAAAUGCAUAGUGAAUCAAAUGUUUUGGGGGAUAACAUGUCAUCAAAAUAUGAUAUAAAAAAGAAAGAAACAAUUCCAGUUAGAAUCGCAGGUGGUGACAUGGACACUGGGCUUCUAGAUGGGCCUUUGAACUCGCCUGUUGGUGUUUGGAGGACAGUUGGUGUCGCAAAAGGGUCAAAGGCAAUGAGCAUGACACAGAAUAUGGAAUCUUUCGGGAAUAUUCCUCAUAAUUCUUUCACUGAGGAAGGAAUGUUGUUGUCAUAUGGUCAAAGGCAACCUCUUUUAGAGCUUCUUGAUGGAAUGUCUUUGCUUUUUCAACAAGCGUUGACUUUUGUUGAUGUCACUUUGGAUUCCGAUUGUGGGGACGGGCCCUACGGGUGGUUGGCAAUGCAAGAGCAAUGGAGACGCGGGUUUUCGUGUGGGCCCGCUUUGGUUCAUGCGGGUUGUGGCGGGGUGUUGGCAGCUUCUCAUUCUCUUGAUAUUGCUGGUGUCGAGUUAGCGGAUCCACUUUCCGCUGAUGUAAGCUUCCACACUUUUUUUUUUACUAAAAGACUAUUUUGCCCCCCCGUUAGUGUCAUGUCAGUCAAAGUUGUCAAAUACAGUACAAUCUGUUUUGUAAUGUCAUGUUACAAUCCCAGUGUCAGUCAAGGUUGUACAUUCUACAAAAGUACAGCCUGUUAUGUCAUGUCAUUUCCUGUCCCAUUCUUAGUCAGAUACAGUACAACUUGUUCUGUGGUUAUGACUUAUGACAGAUGUAAUCAUUCUACAUUUUUGUGAAAAUUUGUAUUUUUAAUUAAUGUUUGAUAACUUUAAUGUUAUGUUUCAGGUUCCGGCAUCGUAUGCUAUAACAUUACUACAAUCGGACAUAAAGUUAGCCUUGAAAUCGGCUUUUGGUAACUUUGAUGGACCCUUGUCAGUCAUGGAUUGGUGCAAAGGGCGAAAUGGUCAAAUUGAUGGGUUUUCAGCUGAGUCAUCAGCUAGUAUAAACGAUUGUAGAGAUUCUUCAAGUACACCAACAAGCCCAUCUCAAUCUGCUGGUGGAUCAACAUCCUGUCUUAGCAAAGGUAGUAAAUAUUUUUACUCAUUUAGUAAACAGUAAAUACAUUUGUUGUAUAUAUAUAUUUAUUGUUUUAAUAAAAUAAAAAUCACAUAUUGUUGAUAGAUGGAAAUCGAAUUGAUGAUGUAAGCGAAAGAAGAUCAAACCAAGAUGAGUCAGAGCAGCAACUCGGCCUCAGGCCUGCACUUCUUGUGCUUCCUAUUCCUGCUAUUCUUGUUGGGUAUUAUUAUUAUUAUUAUUAUUAAUAUUUUUAAUAAUAUAAAGUUUUUAUAAUGUUAUUUUGACUAGUCAAACUCUAAAAGGGUGUAUUCAAAUAUAACAGGUAUCAAGAUGAUUGGCUAAAGACAUCAGCAAGCUCUCUUCAACAUUGGGAAAAAGCUCCUUUUGAACCUUAUGCUAUGCAGAAACACGUGAGAAAAUUUUAAUUUACCCUUAGUUUUUAACUUUUUAUUAAUAAUUGUUAACUAAUUUAUUAUCUUCUUUUACAUAAUUUUUGCAGAUGAAUUAUUGCGUUGUAUGUCCAGAUAUCGAUCCCCUUACAACUGCUGCUGCAGACUUCUUUCAACAGCUCGACACUGGUGUGUCAUAAUUACUUGUCUUCUUCUUUUUCCAUUAAGUUCUUUUUCUUUUUUGGACUGAAUGAACUAAGUGUCUGUUUUCAUACAGUUUAUGAAACCUGCAAAUUGGGAACUCAUUCACCUCAAAAUUUGGGUAACCAAACUUCCAAAGACUCGGUCAAAUGGUCAACUUCUGGGUUUGUUUUACUAGAUUGCCCUCAAUCAAUGAAGAUCGAAGGCGAUAGUGCAUCUCUCGUGGGAUCAAUCAGUGAUUACUUUCUUUCUUUAUCCAACGGUUGGGAUUUAACAAGUUUCUUGAAAUCCCUCUCCAAAGUUCUCAAAACCCUAAAACUCAAUUCCAUCUUUGCCCCUAAUUCAAAAGAAGGAAACACCACUCCAUGCACAGUAAUAUACGUGGUGUGCCCGUUUCCCGAACCCGUUUCGAUUUUAAAAACCGUGGUUGAAUCAUGUGUAGCCAUUGGAUCUGCCAUGUGUCCACCAUCCGAUAAAGAACGAAGAUCCGCCUUACAAAAUCAAGUUGGAAAGGCUUUAAGUUGCACAACAGCUGUAGAUGAAGCAUCAAUUUCAAACAUUGUGACAAUUUCCGGUUUCAGUGUCCCUAAAUUAGUCCUCCAAAUCAUAACCGUUGAUUCCAUCUUUCGUGUCACAACCCCGUCUCUCAACGAGCCCGUGAUUUUAAAAGAAAUCGCCUUCACCGUCUACAAUAAAGCCCGAAGAAUCUCCCGAGGAAAUGGAAUCGCGGAUUCCAUUCCAUCGGUUAGAUCUCAGUCGCAGUCUCAUUCUGGAAUGAUGCAAAUGAAUUCGAAUUCGCCGAUUCCUGGGAUGUGGAAAGACUCAAUUGCCCCUCGAAUGGUGGGACCUAGAGAGGGCGAGUGGGAUAACAACUCAUGGCAAAUGUCUAAUCGUGUCACGGGAGAAUAUUUUCUUCAAGAUGAGUUAAAAUACAUGUUUGAGCCGCUUUUUAUUCUUGCGGAUUCACCGGAACGCGGGAUUCCGCCGGAAUCAUUGAAGGUUUUGUCAGAUGAUGGGACGAGUUCGGAUACCGGAGACGGGUUGGAUGACGGAUACGGGUCGACCCAUAAACCUCCCCCGAGUUUACAUUGUUGUUAUGGAUGGACAGAGGAUUGGAAGUGGCUUGUUUGUAUAUGGACUGAUUCCAGAGGGGAAUUACUCGAUAGCUAUACGUUUCCAUUCGGUGGAAUCAGUAGUAGACAAGACACAAAGGGGCUUCAAUUCCUUUUUGUUCAAAUUUUGCAACAAGGUUGUCAGAUACUUCAGGCAUGUUCACCGGAAACAACCACCGCCAGGCCACGAGAUUUUGUCAUUACGCGUAUCGGUUGCUUUUUUGAACUCGAAUGCCAAGGUAUAAUUACGUUUCUACCCUUUGGUAUUACAAUUUACAAUUACAAUACUCGUGUUAAUUAAUUAACAUGAUGUGAUGUGUAUGCAGAAUGGCAGAAAGCACUUUAUUCUAUUGGUGGCUCGGAGGUGAAAAAGUGGUCAUUGCAACUCCGGCGAUCGGUGCCGGAUGGGAUUCCGGCGAGUAGUAAUGGCGGUUCUGAAAUGGGUAUGAUUCAAGAUCGGAAUCUGGCGGCUCAUGGGAAGGGUGGUGGGUUUAUGAAAGGUGGUGGGAUGGGGCAGGCGGCUUCUAGAAAGCAGAUUUUGAGUGGUGGUGGUGGUGGUGGACAUAUGGGAAUGGAUAAUUCCAAGGGUUUGCUUCAAUGGGUGCAAAGUAUAACUUUUGUAUCGGUUUCAGUUGAUCAUUCUUUACAGUUGGUUUAUCAAGCGGAUUCAUCUCCAGGUUAGUUUUAUUUUGGAAGGAAUGGAAUGGUUCAUUCCAAGGAAUGUGAUUCCUGUUUAAUUUAGUUUUUUAAAUUUCUUGGUGCAACAGGGACAACUCAAGGGAGUGGAAUCAUGGGGCAAUCGGUGUACACUGAAGGAUUCACACCUGUAAAAUCUCUGGGUUCCACAUCAGCAUCUUACAUAUUCAUUCCAUCACCCACCAUGCGAUUCCUCCCCCCGAACCCCCUCCAACUCCCCACCUGCCUAACCUCGGAAUCACCGCCACUCGCCCACCUCCUCCACAGCAAGGGUUCCGCCAUUCCCAUUUCCACCGGAUUUGUAGUCUCAAAAGCCGUUCCUUCCAUGCGAAAAGAUUCAAGAACCAACUCCAAAGAAGAAUGGCCUUCGGUUCUCUCAGUAGCCCUUUUCGAUUACUACGGAGGCAACAACAAUAACAAUAGCAACAACAAUAAUAAUAAUAAUAAUAACAACAACAAUAAUAAUAACGAAAAAACAUCCAAGAACAUGGGAAAAUCUAUGGAGAAUCAUGUGAUUUUGGACAGAGUGGCGGCUGAGCUACACGCGUUGUCUUGGAUGACUGUGAGCCCGGGGUACUUAGAAAGAAGAACAUCGCUUCCGUUUCAUUGUGAUAUGGUGUUGAGGUUAAGAAGGCUUUUGCAUUUUGCGGAUAAACAACUCUCGCAGAUUUCGGUUAAGUCAGAAGUUUAGAUGUCUUAAUGGGUUAUUGUGGAGAAAUAGUUGUACAAUGUAUAACUAAAAAAAAAAAUGCAUGAAUGUAGGGUUUUUUUUGGUGAUUAGGGAUAAUGUUUUUAUCAAGGGUUGUGAGAAAUAGAGGGGAGAUUAAAAUACAUAGAUGGUCAUCAAGUGUUGUAGUGGUAGGAGUUGUUGAUUGUUUGUACAAAAACAACAUUUGGAUUUUGAAGGGUGUUUGUGAAGCAUUAUAGAUCAACAUAAUCACCUCUUAUGUUAGUCCAUUAGUCAAACAGAUGACUAGAUGACAGUGUUUGAUAUGUAUUGGACUGUGAUUUGAUUAAUAUUAACGAGACAAAAACUAUAAUAUUUUGUUCUGUUAAAAGGUUGAAAAAGACAGCAAAUGCAAAUUUUCAAAUACAAUCUCAUCUAUGGGUAUGAACUUCAUCCAUUUUAUUUGUGUAAAAAAAAAAGAAAAAAACUAUAUAAUAUAAAUAUAGAAGGAUAUACCGAGAGAGAUGAUAACAUGGGGUGGGUGGGGGCAAUUUAACCCAUGUGAGAGACAAAGGUCCAACCAACCGACCCUUUUCGAUAGUGAAAAGCAAUAAUUAUGUGUAGACACUCAUUUGGGUUAGGCCUUCUUCCCCCAUGUGCAAUGCACAUGAUGCCAAAAUCUCAUUUGUCAUUUUACCUCACCUUCAUUGUUCAUAUCUUGUGAUCCUCAAAAUAUCUUUUGUUUUUUUCAUUAUUGAUCGACCUAAAUUUUGCUCACAUAACAUGAAAAAUAAGUUAUAAACUUGGUUAUUGUUUUAUAUUAUUUGUUACGCAUUUAGUUCAAAAACCAAUAUUGUUUCCAUUUACUCAACUUGAUUUCAUUUCGUUUUGGAUUUGGUCACAUAGUCCAAAAUCAAGACGCUACGUUAAUCGUACACCUAAGGGUAUUUUCGUCUAUUCAUCUACGUAUUUGGUGAAUGCGAUUAAUGGUUUUAUGAAGAAUGAAUGAAAACAACCUCUCACACAGCAUGUGAUAUGAUUUGACGUCUAAUUUUGGACAACGUACCAAUCGCAAAACAAAAUGAAACCACAAUAAUAACAAUUGUAACACAAAUAAUUUUUGAAUUAGAUCUAUAACAAACAAUAUAAGUAUAUAAAACAAAGAUAAUGGUAACAAAUUUUGGAAUUGAUUUACAUUAGUAAAUAAUUAUUUCUUAUUAAUAUUUGUAAGAUGGAACAGUUUUUGGUCUGUUUUUAGCCUUUAGGAUAUGCCAUAGAAGUUUCUGUUUUUUGGAGUUGAGCACAAGUUUUCUCCAAUGAUGUGGGGUUGAUUUGAUUGUUAAUCUUGUUUGUUUUAUUAGCAUUAUUAUUUAAUAAUUCAAAACAAUAAUGAAGGUAACAUGUUAAUUCAACUUUUCCAUCUUAAAAAAAAGUUGUUCUGUCUUUUCUUUAAAUUAGUGAAAGAUGUCUCCUUUUCUACUCAACAAAUUUAUCGACAUAAUUGUUGUGAUCAGCAACUUGAAUUUUGAACGCAAAAAACCAUAAAUUUCUUAUUAAUUUUUUUUUUUACCUUCUCCGAUAACAGAAUAGUCAUCUUGCCAUUUUGAAUGGUUUACGUCCCCUUGUUUUCAUACAAGAAUAAUUUAAGUAAAGCUGCUAUACUAAAGUUCUUAAUCGUGAAUUUAAUUGCAUAUAAUUACAAUAUCAAUAGGAAUUAUGAAAAAUAGGAGAGUAUCGAAAAAGCCAUUGAUUAGCAAAAAAAAGUAGAAUCUGUCAAAAAAAUUAAAGAAAGGAAUGAAUUGGAUUAUGAAGUAGUUGUAAUCAAAAAAAUAUUUUGUUGAUAGUAAAUAAGAUAAAAAAAUCAAUUAUAGAAUGAUUUAUUUAUUUAUUUAUAAUAUAAUGACAUGUUAUUUAUCUACUAUUGUUCUAGGAGUAAUGGUAUUUAGAAAAGGUUGUGAUGUUGAAUUAGGUGUUUUUGUUUUUUGGAAAAAAAUCUUUUCAGACCUUUUAUUGCUGCGUGACGCAGCACACGCGCAACAUUUUUCAUCUCGCAGCUGUUUGUUUUUCAGAAGUCUUCGGAUUAAAAAACAUCCGUGCGUGUUCUUCUUGGAGCAACACUUGUUUUGUCUCUUCCUACCUCUUCCAACUUUUUUUUUCCUUACUAAAAUAUUGAUUAUAUAUUACUGAAAUCUUAUUUCACAUUUUUUUUUUCGUUUUUUUUGUUUAUUCUUGUUGAUUUUUUUAUAUUGAAUAAUAAUAAUUUGUUGAUGAAAUAUCAUUAUUUUAUGUUAAAAUAUCAUUAUUUUUUGUUAAAAUAUCAUUAUUUUUUGCUGAAAUAUCAUAGAUUCUUAUCGAAACGUCAUACACUAUUAAAUUUUCGGUAUUGAAAAACUAUUUUCAGAUUAUAAAAUCAGUUUAUUUUAAUUUUUUAUAUUUGCAGCAGCAUGCAGAUGUUAAAAAAACAAACACGCUUCUUAUUACAGUCUGCAGCCGUUUGAUCCACCUCUUCUACUGCAGAGGGUUGCAGAGGUGGUUCGCAGACUUUAUGAAUUUUUGCUUCAAAAAAAACAAACAACACUUUAGUGAAUCUUGAAGCAUACUCAUGAAGCUACCGCUUUGUGAAUCGUAUUGUUGGAAUUGUGGAGGCGUUGUGUUUAGCUAGAACGGCCCAUCUUGACUUGCGGUGUUUGGGUUUCGUUUAGGUGGUGGUUUGUUUGGAUUUUACUUCAUUGGUUGAGUAUAAAAAAAUAGAGACAAAAUUGCAAGAAUGGUCCCUGUGGUAUGUCAAAACUAGCAUCUUUGGUCCAAAAUGGGUUUGGCUCGCAAGGAUGGUCCAAUAGUUUCGUUUUGUUGUGAGUUUGGUCCAAUUUUCUAUGAACUUUUUUAUAAUGACGGAUUUGCCCUUAUAUUUUAAUUUUCCAUUUUUAUUUUAUUAUCAGUAAUUAAAAAACAAUUAAAAAUAAAACAAAAAUAAAAUACUCUCUCUCCCUCUCUCUCUCUCUUUCUCUUUCUCUNUCUCCCCCCCCCCCCCCCCCCCUCUCUCUCUCUUUACAAACAAAAUUAAUACAGAUCUGGUAGUGGAUUUCUAAAAUGAAGAACCCUAACUUUUAUCAAUUUUGUUCAAUUCAUUGUAUGAAGUCGAAUAGACUAAACACAUACACACUCAUAUAUGCAUAUGAAUCACAAGAACACUCGAUUUUUCCUGAGUUCAAGAACAAGAACAUCAUAUUCACGAACUAAGAAAUCGAUUUCUGAUGAAUUACCAUCACCACCAUCGAAAUCAGUUUCUUCUAUGAAUUGCCCAACUCAAACCCACAAGCACAAAAACAACUCAAUAAACAUAAAGAUGAAGGUAAACUGCAACCCUUUUAUCCCUCUCCCUGAAUCGAAGACACCGUAUACCCUAAAUCAGUACAUGUUAAAGAGAUUACGAUUUACAGAUGAAAGGGAUUACGAUUUACAACCUAGAAAUUUUUGCGUCCUUUCCAAUUAUUGAAUCAAAUGCCAAUCAUGUCCCUUUCUCUUGUUCUUCUCUGAAUCGGUGUGUGUAUCAUUUUUAGGCGUAGAAGAUGACUCUUGUAGAAGAACAAUGAUAACAGUGGCAUUGUAGCUCUAAACGACAAUGAGAGAAAAGCCAGCUAUAGUGGUUUGACCUAGGAGGCGAUGGUGUUGUUGGUAUUCGUCGGAGAUGUUACCUGGUUUAGGUGAUAGGCGAGGUACGAUGGAUGAUGACCAGAUAUACUAGGUGAUGUUGAGGGUCAAAAGGGUGGAUCAGGCAAGAGAAAAGAUGUGUUUUCCGGCGAUUGUAUUCUCACAUAGGUCACUGAGAGGUUGCAACAUGUUUGAUUUUGAAAUUGUUUUGAAUUGAUUUCUUUGAACUUGUCGAAGAAGACAUAUCAGAUAGGCAGGGGAGGGAUGAAGAAGAUGAAUUGUUCUUCGGUAAAAAGAAAAGAAAUAUAUGGGGGGAAUACGGUGGAGAGAGGGAGAGAGAGAGAGAGUAUUUUAUUUAUGUUUUAUUUUUAAUUACUGAUAAUAAAAUAACAAUGGAAAAUUAAAAUAUAAGGGCAAAUCCGUCAUUAUAAAAAAGUUCAUAGGAAAUUGGACCAAACUCGCAACAAAACGAAACUAUUGGACCAUCCUUGCAAGCCAAACCCAUUUUGGACCAAAGGUGCUAGUUUUGACAUACCACAGGGACCAUUCUUGCAAUUUUGUCAAAAAUAGAUGAGAAAAGAAUUAGUUUAUAUAUAUUAUAAAAUGAAAGAUUCUAGUGAGGAAAUAUUUUGUUGAAUUUGUGUAUAUUUAUAAGUAAAAUUUAAAUUGAUUUUAGAAUAUAUAUGUUUAAACAGUAAUUGAAUAUAAUCUAGCAUUCCAGUUAAAUAAACAAUUCCACAUUCAUAUAAGUUACCAUCUCAUUAAGUCAUACACAAAUAACACUUAAGGUUUAAUUCAAAAUGACAUAACAAGACGUCUAAACUGUUUAAAGAUAUUUGAGCAUUAAGUGAAUGUUUCUUAUUAUUAAUCAAAUGUUUUAAAAUAAUCAUGAAAAAGCAGAAACUAUUUAAUGAUCAUCUUAUUACUUUUCACCUAAUUUUAAUUGACCUCCAUUAAUAAAAUUCUAAAAUUCCACAAAAGGAAUAAUAAUGUGAAAUUUGAAGUAGAAUCAUGUACUACGAAGUGGGAAUGCUAUUCCCAAAGCACAGGUUCGGAAAGCAAGAUUUCGAAUAAAGCUACAAAGGUGCAAUUGUGCAAACGCAUUGAGAUUUGUUUUACUUUUGAGAUGAUAGAAAGCAAAAUUAAGAAUUUGAUCAAAAUAAUCUGAAACUAUCUAAUAAUUCCAAUUCCAAUAAGAACAAUGUUCACGUAAUCUGUAUCUUCUCAAAUCCGUAGAUCAAAUCCAAUAAAAUCAGGAACUGAAUUUCAUUAACAAGAAUGAUACAAUAUGAGUAUGGAAAUACUGAUUACAUCGUUAGAUUUAACAUUAUGAUAGUACUAGCUCCUCCCAAAUCCACAGAUCAAAUCCAUUAAUAUCACGAACUAAAUUUUUUAUUAAUCUACCAAACCCAAACAGAAAUAUAGAUAGAAGAUUUACAUUCUUCUCUCUCGCUUCCUUCUAUUCAAAAUAGGAGAAAAGAGAGGGAGCAGAAUUGAUAGGUAUAUGUAUAGUAACAAUAACUCUGAAAAAUAAACCAUACUCUGGAGUAGAAUUAAUUAGAAGAGGAAGGAGAAAACGAGUGCUGAUAGAGAGGCGAUGGCGGUGGGGAUGAAGACGGUUGUGGCGUCGGAAGUAGGAGCUGGAGCCGGAGCCUCUGCGGCGGAGACAGAGAUGGCUGAGACGGCCAUCGUCAUCACCAUCAUUAUGGCGAAAAGCUUCAUCAUCUUUGUUGAAUCCAUGAAUGAGCUCUGCAAUUCAAUUCUCGAUGAAGAUUGUGGGAGAGAAGAGAAUUGUGAGAGCAGAUAGUGGGGAACAGAAGGGUUCGAGUGUUGGGGUUUUAUAGGGAAGGGUAAUGGAGUAUUCUCAAGACAUGGGUGGUAGUAAUAGAGAAGGUCGCUGCCCGCUGCCCGUUUCUUUUUUGGAGAAGAGUAAAUUAGUGUUUUGGUACAUUCAGCCACCCUCAAUUGAAGCCAACAGGGAUCGAACCUGGGUCACAUCCUUUGGAGAGUGAUUUUCCAUGUCAAUCUUGUCCUUAUGCCAUCAAGGUGAUGGUUAAAAUAUCAUCCUAAU
RNAcentral lists this long non-coding RNA (56974 nucleotides) under Lactuca sativa (garden lettuce). RNAcentral describes it as "long non-coding RNA (LSAT_LNC006495)". The record is from RNAcentral. Lineage: Eukaryota; Viridiplantae; Streptophyta; Magnoliopsida; Asterales; Asteraceae.